Molecule: long non-coding RNA, 64057 nt
Filed under: Citrus sinensis (sweet orange)
Lineage: Eukaryota; Viridiplantae; Streptophyta; Magnoliopsida; Sapindales; Rutaceae
Description: long non-coding RNA (CSIN_LNC002460)
Source: RNAcentral
AAAAAAAAAAAAAAAAACCUAGAAAUAGUUAUAGAGAUAGCGAUAACGUACCGCAUCUUGCACUCCAUCCGUUGCUACACGCGAUGGAAGAUGCUGCAAUUCAUAAUUAUCCUUUAAUUAGUGUUCAAUGAUGGAAGCUAAAGAAGUCUACAAUAUAUGCAGGGUAGAUUAAGAGAUUACUUAAUAACCUCAAAUUGAAUUGAAUAGAGAGUGGAAUUUGGAUAGACAUAUAAUGUUCAGUAAGUUCAAAAAGGAAGCAAUCAGGAUGUAUCUUGCAUAAGAAUUUUUUCUUAUCGAGCAAAUUGUCGAUUUAUUUGAUUUUUUUUUUGAAUGAAUUUGUCCAUUUCUCUCACAUCAUGUGUCUUGUAAAAUGUAAUGAUUAUAAAAAAUGACUGUAAUUUAUUUAAAUUAACUCGUGAAUGAAAGAAUCAUACUGCGGAACCAAUAUGAAUAAUAAUCAGAUAAAGCUCACAUGAACGAGAGAAUCAUGUACCUUAAUUUUUUCUUCAUCAAUUGUUGUUCCGUUAGGGUUAAUUCACAAAUUUUUUAAAACAGUAAAAUUGUUAAAUUAAAAAAAUGUUAAUUAAGCAAAAUUUACAUCAGAUCUGAGCCUCGAGUCAUCUAAUUUGUUGAUGAUCUUAUUAGAGAAUCAAGAAAAUGGCAUAUAGCAAGGCUAGGAGCUGAAUUAAUUACCCCAUCGGUCAUUUCCUGAGAAGCACAUGUCGGUACUGAUGAUGAGGCCUUCAUGUCUGCACUUUGCUAACCAAUUAACCCUAGAAAUUGAGAAAGAGAGGUAGAUAGAGAGAGGAAACAGAUCUAGUGAGUAUCAAAUAAAUUGGUUUAUUAUUGUGUCCUUUUUAUUGCAUACAAAAGUUGGCAAUGUUUGCACAUUUGGUAAGUAAAGGUGGAGGAGAUUAAGGGUAAAUUUGCUAAAGCAACGGCUACUCUCAUCAUUGGGGUCCAAAUUAAGUUUAUCUAGCUAUUAUGCUAUAAUUUUAUCUAGGCAGGCCUCUUUUGUUUUUUUCUUACUGUUUUGAAAUAGUGUAGAUUAAGUAGUUAUUUUACUAAUUUAAUGUAAAUGUUACAUUUUGGUCCUUCAACUUUUUUUUUUUUGUUUGCCCUGUUGUUUGUAGAUUCUCUAUUACGAAUCGUAUCAAAUAGAUAUAAUUCUAUGUAAAUGUUACAUUUUGGUCCUUCAACUAUUUUACUAAUUUAAUGUAAAUGUUACAUUUUGGUCCUUCAACUUUUUUUUUUUGUUUGCCCUGUUGUUUGUAGAUUCUCUAUUACGAAUCGUAUCAAAUAGAUAUAAUUCUGCCAUUAAGACGAACUUUUUUAGUUUUUUUUCAAGAGAUAAAUUUGCACGAGCGUUGAAAGAAAUUGCAAUGUAUUUCUCAUUUGAAAAUAUUUUUCUGGAAUAAAUUCCACAUCUUAUUUUACUCAAGUCACAAUAGUAAAUGGUUAGCUUUAUAUAUAGCGCAUAUGAGCUUCCAUUAUUUGAUGUUUGGUCCCCGUAUCUGUAAGGAUUUGCAGUAUCUAAUUGCUUGGAUAAUUAAUUAAUUAAAUAGUUUCUUUCUUUUUUAAAGCAGAAAUUCCAUAUCUCUUGUGUGUUUUGUUAUCAACAAAAUUUUUUAUCAACUUCUCCGAUGCAUUGAAUUGGAAAAAAUCUAAACUAUAGAAAUUGUUGUCAUCAAAAAUCAGGAUUUAUUUGUGUUCAUGAUGAACACUUUGCAUAUAUACACAUAACUUUGUUUAAAUUAAAAAACAAUCCACUUUAUUUGUUAUUAUGAUCUUGAUUCUAUGGGUUAUUGAUCUCCAUAAGAGUUUUAGACCAAGUCUGCUGUGUGUCAUUUGAAACCUUCUCCUGUCCAAUAAAGGCUGACCAGUUGUCGGUCCGAGCAUCGGCAAGAACCCAUGUAACUUCUUCAGGCCGGUUUUUAAAGUCAAAUUUAAUACGUUUAGCUUUAGCACCAAUCUUCCUCCCCCUCUUUGGCUGUUGGCUACUUGAUUGAGGGUCAGGGUUAGAGCUCCCAGCAGCAUCCUGCGUGUAUAUGUAUACUCAAGGAUGUUACAUCGAAUAUAAGAAAAUUGAAAACAACAAUUUAAAUACUAGCCAAAGAUGAGAUGUGAUUUUGAAAGCUCACUCACAUUGGUAAGGCCAACUACUGGUGGUGUCUCAAGCUUUUUCCGGUCAUUUUCUUGCAAUGCGUUAGGAGUAAUUGGAUUAAUAUUUUGUCCCUUUGACAGUAAGUGCUUCUCGACUUCUUUAAAUGAUCUGAACUGCUUGUUUGUCCCCGGCUCAUAGUAGAACUGCACAUUCAUUUGAAACACACUCAACAAUCAGGCUCACCACAUCCUUUUGAGCUGCAAUUCAUAAUUAUCCUUUAAUUAGUGUUCAAUGAUGGAAGCUAAAGAAGUCUACAAUAUAUGAAGGGUAGAUUAAGAGAUUACUUAAUAACCUGAAAUUGAAUUGAAUAGAGAGUGGAAUUUGGAUAGACAUAUAAUUUUCAGUAAGUUCAAAAAGGAAGCCAUCAGGAUGAAUCUUGAAUAAGAAUUUUCUGUUACCGAGCAAAUUGUCGAUUUAUUUCAUUUGAUUUUUUUUUUUGAAGGAAUUUGUCCAUUGCUCUCACAUCAUAUGUCUUGUAAAAUGUCAUGACUCGAAAAAAUGACUGUACUUUAUUUAAAUUAACUCGUGAAUGAAAGAAUCAUACUGCGGAACUAAUAUGAAUAAUAAUCAGGGCUUUUGAUCAAGAGCAGGCACCAUCCUCAAAGGCACAGCGUCAAUGAUCUGAAGCUCAUUGGGCGGAAUCAAAGUGUUAGUUUCUUCGGCUUUCGUCAUCUGCAAAAUGCAACAAAAAAAGAAAAAAGAGAAACCCAAAUAAAUAUACAAUUACAGAGAAAAUUGACUUAUCAUGGUGGUGAUAAAAGUGAAGAAAUAAAAUCUUUCUUGUCGUUUGAUUUAGUGGGUGCAUGUACGAUGUGGGGGAAUAGAGAGAGUGAAAUACAUUUUUUGAUGGCAAGUACAUGUAACUAGCAGUCCUUUAGUGUUAGGUAUUGUGUAAAUAAAAUAAAAUAAAUUAUACCUAGGACGUUGUAUAAGUUUAAAACAUGCAAUGACUUUUAAGCCAAAAAAAAAAAAAGUUUAUGUAAGGCUGAAAUAAACCUACCUCUUCUAAAUUAAUCUAUGCAUACAUGUUAAAAUAGAAACUCGUCCGCACUAACCCUAUUAUUAAUUUGAAAGGGACACAAGAAUAUUGUUGAUAAAGAAUGCUGGAGCAUUAGAUAGUAUUGGACCUCUCUCAACUCCAAAAGCUAACUUAAGAGGUAAGGUUUACCCUCACACUUAUAAAGUCACUAUCAGCCCCUUCCCCAACCAAUGUGGGAUAACCCCAAUAAUCUCCUCCUCACACACAGGGCUUGGAUCAAAAGCAUAGAUACCUAUUCUCUCAAUUAGACUAUUAGGUUGAGAUGUUGGUGAACCUGAACUUUAAUAUUACUGUUUGGUAGUCCUAUGCCUCUUUCAACCCCAAAAGCUAGCUCAAGGGGUGAGGCUUUCCCUCAUACUUAUAAAGUCACUACCGGCCCCUUGCACAACCGAUAUGGGAUAAUUGAAACAAGUAGCAAUUAUAGUUUAUCUAAUUAGAAUAAAAAGGACUUUUGAAGGAAAAUGAAUUAAUAAGAAGAUUCUCUUGUAAUGAAAACCAUAAAAAAUAGGGAUAUACUAAAUACACAUUGAUUUUUAUCUUUCCAAUUGUAUAAGAUUGAUGUAAAUUUGUUUUUCCUACAAAAAUAACAAUAACAGUUAAAUCUCAUAUAUAUCUUAUGUUUCACUGGUAUUAAAUAACUCUUAGAUUGUCUAAUUCACAUAAAAAUCAAUAGUAAAUCCACAUUUAAGUAAUGCACCUCUAAAGAAAUAUUAAUUUCACAUUUACGUUCCCAAUCAUAUUAGCUAUCAUAAUUAAUAUUUUCUUUUUGCAGGAAUAAAAAAUUAAUAUAUAACUAAAUAAUGUAAAUUACGAAUCAACGUGAACAAAAGAUAAACUGUCUCCUACCAUACAUAACAUUCUAAAUUUUUUUACUAACUUGCCCAGGCAUAGGUAAUCUCGAUGUCAUAUGAUAGGUAAUAAUGAUUGACAACUCCAUCCGUUGCUACAUGCGAUGGAAGAGGCUGCAAUUCAUAAUUAUCCUUUAAUUAGUGUUCAAUGAUGGAAGCUAAAGAAGUCUACAAUAUAUGAAGGGUAGAUUAAGAGAUUACUUAAUAACCUGAAAUUGAAUUGAAUAGAGAGUGGAAUUUGGAUAGACAUAUAAUUUUCAGUAAGUUCAAAAAGGAAGCCAUCAGGAUGAAUCUUGAAUAAGAAUUUUCUGUUAUCGAGCAAAUUGUCGAUUUAUUUCAUUUGAUUUUUUUUUUUAAGGAAUUUGUCCAUUGCUCUCACAUCAUAUGUCUUGUAAAAUGUCAUGACUCGAAAAAAUGACUGUACUUUAUUUAAAUUAACUCGUGAAUGAAAGAAUCAUACUGCGGAACUAAUAUGAAUAAUAAUCAGAUAAAGCUUACAUGAACGAGAGAAUCAUGUACCUUAAUUCUUUCUUCCUCAAUUGUUGUUCUUUUUUGGUUAAUUCACAAACUUUUAAAACUUAGUAAAAUUAUUAAAUUAAAAAAAUGUUAAUUAAGCAAAAUUCCAUCAGAUCUGCGCCUCGAGCCAUCUAAUUUGUUGAUGAUCUUAUUAGAGAAUCAAGAAAAUGGCAUAGAGCAAGGAUAGGAGCGGAAUUAAUUACCCCAUCGGUCAUUUCUUGAGAAGGAAGUGUCGGCACUGAUGAUGAGGCCUUCAUGUCUCUACUUUGCCAACCAAUUAACCCUAGAAAUUGAGAAAGAGAGGUAGAUAGAGAGAGGAAACAGAUCUAGUGAGUGUCAAAUAAACUGGCUUAUUAUUGUGUCCUUUUUAUUGCAUGCAAAAGUUGGCAAUGUUUGCACAUUUGGUAAGUAAAGGUGGAGGAGAUUCAGAGUAAAUUUACUAAAGCAACGGCUACUCUCAUCAUUGUGGUCUAAAUUAAGUUAAUCAAGAUAUUAUGCUAUAAUUUUAUCUCGGCAGGCCCCAUUUUUUUUUUACUCUUUAUGUUUGAAAUACUGUAGAUUAAGUAGUCAUUUUACUAAUUAUAGGUAAAUGUUACAUUUUGGUUCUUUAACUUUGCUCUUUUUUUUGUUUGCCAUGUUGUUUGUAGAUUCUCUAUUAUGAAUCGUAUCAAAUGCAUAUAAUUCUGCCACUAAGACGAACUUUUUUUUUUCAAGAGAUAAAUUUGCAUGAGGGUAGAAAGAAAUUACAGUGUAUUUCUCAUUUGAAACUAUUUUUCUGGAAUAAAUUCCAUAUCUUAUUUUACCCAAGUCACAAUAGUACAUGGUUUGCCUUAUAUAUAGCGCAUAUGAGCUUCCAUUAUUUGAUGUUUGGUACCCAUAUCUCUAUGGAUUUGCAGUAUCUAAUUGCUUGGAUAAUUAAGUAAUUAAACAGUUUCUUUCUUUUUUAAAGUAGAAAUUCCAUAUGUAUUGUGUGUUUUUUUAUCAAUAAAAAAUUUUAUCAACUUUUCCGAUGCAUUGAAUAGGAAAAAAUCUAAACUAUAGAAAUUGUUGUUGUCAUGGGGUUUAUCACACAUCAGGAUUUAUUUGUGUUCAUGAUGAACACUUUGCAUAUAUACACAUAAUUUCGUUUAAAUUAAAAAUAAUGCACGUUUUUUGUUAUUAUGAUCUUGAUUCUCUGGGUUAUUGAUCUCCAUAAGAGUUUUAGACCAAGUCUGCUGCGUGUCAUUUGAAAACUUCUCUUGUCCAAUAAAGGCUGACCAAUUGUUGGUAUAAGCAUCGGCAAGAACCCAUGUAACUUCUUCAGGCCGGUUUUUAAAGUCAAAUUUAAAACGUUUCGCUUUAGCACCGAUCUUCCUCCUCCUCUUUGGCUGUUGGUUGCUUGAUUCAGGGUCAGGAUUAGAGCUCCCAGCAGCAUCCUGCAUGUAUAUCAGUAUAAGUAUACACAUAGAUGUUGCAUGAAAUAUACUAAAAUUAAAAGCAACAAUUUAAAUACAAGCCGAAAGUAAGAUUUGAUUUUGAAAGCUCACUCACUUUGGUAAGGCCAGCUACCGGCGGUGUCUCAAGCUUCUUCCGGUCAUUUUCUUGCAAUGCGUUAGGAGUAAUUCGAUUAAUAUUUUGUCCUUUUGACUUGACUUAUUUCUAUUAGUAAUUUCAUAGUUUAUGUAAUCUACAUGAACAUUUAAUAUUAGGCGCGAAACCCAUUUUAUUCUUCCCUUUUUGUUUUGACAACUCAUGUAUGUAUGUAUGUAUCAUGUUUUUCUUUCUUUUCUUUUUCAAGAAAAAAAAAACGCGCGAAAUCACAUUUACGCUCUAUACCCCCCUCUGACCUAAAAGAAAACUUGAGAUCCAUAAAUUAGUUUGCUAAUGAAAAACAAUUAAUCAAAUUUAUGCAUUUCCUGCAUUUUUUUCUCUUACAGGUACCAUAUAGCUCAGUAUCAAGCAUUGACUACAACAAAACAAAAAAAAAAACCUAGAAAUAGUUAUAGAGAUAGCGAUAACAUACAGUAUCUUGCACUCCAUCCGUUGCUACACGCGAUGGAAGAGGCUGCAAUUCAUAAUUAUCCUUUAAUUAGUGUUCAAUGAUGGAAGCUAAAGAAGUCUACAAUAUAUGAAGGGUAGAUUAAGAGAUUACUUAAUAACCUGAAAUUGAAUUGAAUAGAGAGUGGAAUUUGGAUAGACAUAUAAUUUUCAGUAAGUUCAAAAAGGAAGCCAUCAGGAUGAAUCUUGAAUAAGAAUUUUCUGUUACCGAGCAAAUUGUCGAUUUAUUUCAUUUGAUUUUUUUUUUUGAAGGAAUUUGUCCAUUGCUCUCACAUCAUAUGUCUUGUAAAAUGUCAUGACUCGAAAAAAUGACUGUACUUUAUUUAAAUUAACUCGUGAAUGAAAGAAUCAUACUGCGGAACUAAUAUGAAUAAUAAUCAGAUAAAGCUUACAUGAACGAGAGAAUCAUGUACCUUAAUUCUUUCUUCCUCAAUUGUUGUUCUUUUUUGGUUAAUUCACAAACUUUUAAAACUUAGUAAAAUUAUUAAAUUAAAAAAAUGUUAAUUAAGCAAAAUUCCAUCAGAUCUGCGCCUCGAGCCAUCUAAUCUGUUGAUGAUCUUAUUAGAGAAUCAAGAAAAUGGCAUAGAGCAAGGAUAGGAGCGGAAUUAAUUACCCCAUCGGUCAUUUCUUGAGAAGGAAGUGUCGGCACUGAUGAUGAGGCCUUCAUGUCUCUACUUUGCCAACCAAUUAACCCUAGAAAUUGAGAAAGAGAGGUAGAUAGAGAGAGGAAACAGAUCUAGUGAGUGUCAAAUAAACUGGCUUAUUAUUGUGUCCUUUUUAUUGCAUGCAAAAGUUGGCAAUGUUUGCACAUUUGGUAAGUAAAGGUGGAGGAGAUUCAGAGUAAAUUUACUAAAGCAACGGCUACUCUCAUCAUUGUGGUCUAAAUUAAGUUAAUCAAGAUAUUAUGCUAUAAUUUUAUCUCGGCAGGCCCCAUUUUUUUUUUACUCUUUAUGUUUGAAAUACUGUAGAUUAAGUAGUCAUUUUACUAAUUAUAGGUAAAUGUUACAUUUUGGUUCUUUAACUUUGCUCUUUUUUUUGUUUGCCAUGUUGUUUGUAGAUUCUCUAUUAUGAAUCGUAUCAAAUGCAUAUAAUUCUGCCACUAAGACGAACUUUUUUUUUUCAAGAGAUAAAUUUGCAUGAGGGUAGAAAGAAAUUACAGUGUAUUUCUCAUUUGAAACUAUUUUUCUGGAAUAAAUUCCAUAUCUUAUUUUACCCAAGUCACAAUAGUACAUGGUUUGCCUUAUAUAUAGCGCAUAUGAGCUUCCAUUAUUUGAUGUUUGGUACCCAUAUCUCUAUGGAUUUGCAGUAUCUAAUUGCUUGGAUAAUUAAGUAAUUAAACAGUUUCUUUCUUUUUUAAAGUAGAAAUUCCAUAUGUAUUGUGUGUUUUUUUAUCAAUAAAAAAUUUUAUCAACUUUUCCGAUGCAUUGAAUAGGAAAAAAUCUAAACUAUAGAAAUUGUUGUUGUCAUGGGGUUUAUCACACAUCAGGAUUUAUUUGUGUUCAUGAUGAACACUUUGCAUAUAUACACAUAAUUUCGUUUAAAUUAAAAAUAAUGCACGUUUUUUGUUAUUAUGAUCUUGAUUCUCUGGGUUAUUGAUCUCCAUAAGAGUUUUAGACCAAGUCUGCUGCGUGUCAUUUGAAAACUUCUCUUGUCCAAUAAAGGCUGACCAAUUGUUGGUAUAAGCAUCGGCAAGAACCCAUGUAACUUCUUCAGGCCGGUUUUUAAAGUCAAAUUUAAAACGUUUCGCUUUAGCACCGAUCUUCCUCCUCCUCUUUGGCUGUUGGUUGCUUGAUUCAGGGUCAGGAUUAGAGCUCCCAGCAGCAUCCUGCAUGUAUAUCAGUAUAAGUAUACACAUAGAUGUUGCAUGAAAUAUACUAAAAUUAAAAGCAACAAUUUAAAUACAAGCCGAAAGUAAGAUUUGAUUUUGAAAGCUCACUCACUUUGGUAAGGCCAGCUACCGGCGGUGUCUCAAGCUUCUUCCGGUCAUUUUCUUGCAAUGCGUUAGGAGUAAUUCGAUUAAUAUUUUGUCCUUUUGACUGUAAGUGCUUCUCGACUUCUUUAAAUGAUCUGAACUGCUUGUUUGUUCCCGGCUUAUAGUAAAACUGCACAUUCAUUUGAAACACACUCGACAUUAGGCGCACCACAUGCUUUUGAAAUAAAUUUCUGUAACUAUACAUUCGAGCUAUUAAUUGAAAAAACAUACUCUGUACAUAAUAAUAAAAUAAAAUUAAUAAACAUAUCCCACAGAAUUAUAAGCAACAUGCAAUUUCAGCAUACAGCUCUCUAAUUUGAAAAAACAUACUCUGUACAUAAUAAUAAAAUAAAAUUAAUAAACAUAUCCCACAGAAUUAUAAGCAACAUGCAAUUUCAGCAUACAGCUCUCUAAUUUGAAAAAACAUACUCUGUACAUAAUAAUAAAAUAAAAUUAAUAAACAUAUCCCACAGAAUUAUAAGCAACAUGCAAUUUCAGCAUACAGCUCUCUAAUUUGAAAGUUAACUUUCAAAGCUAUGAAAACCUAGAUAAGAAGAAAUUGAGUGUUGGGGCCACCUGGUCAAUUUUUCCUUUGUAAUUAGCGUGGGUUCUUUGCCUCUGCUCGAACAUCCACCCUUCAGGCAAUCCAAUUCUUCUGCCGUCUAUCAGUGGACCUCUAGGGCCUUUUCCCCUUCUCGGCUUUUGAUCAAGAGCAGGCACCAUCCUCAAAGGCACAGCGUCAAUGAUCUGAAGCUCAUUGGGCGGAAUCAAAGUGUUAGUUUCUUCGGCUUUCGUCAUCUGCAAAAUGCAACAAAAAAAGAAAAAAGAGAAACGCAAACAAAUAUACAAUUAUAGAGAAAAUUGACUUAUCAUGGUGGUGAUAAAAGUGAAGAAAUAAAAUCUUUCUUGUCGUUUGAUUUAGUGGGUGCAUGUACGAUGUGGGGGAAUAGAGAGAGUGAAAUACAUUUUUUGAUGGCAAGUACAUGUAACUAGCAGUCCUUUAGUGUUAGGUAUUGUGUAAAUAAAAUAAAAUAAAUUAUACCUAGGACGUUGUAUAAGUUUAAAACAUGCAAUGAAUUUUAACGCAAAAAAAUAAAAAUAAAUAGAAGUUUACUUGUGGCCCAAAUAAACCUGUCUCUUCUAGAAUAAUCUAUGCAUACAUGUUAAAAUAUAAACUCGUGGGCAAUAACCCUAUCAUUAAUUUGAAAGUGACACAAGAAUAUUGUUGAUAAAGAAUGUUGUAGUGGUAGGUGGUAUUGGACAUCUUUCAACUCCAAAAGCUUGCUCACGAGAUAAGGUUUUUCAUCACACUUAUAAAGUCACUAUCAACCCCUUCCACAACCAACGUGGGAUAACCCAAAAAAUCUCCUCCUCACACAAAGGGCUUGGAUCAAAAGCAUAGACACCUAUUCUCUCAAUUAGAUUAUAUAGAUUGAGAUGUUGGUGAGCCUGGACUUUAAUAUUAGUAUUUGGUAGUCUCAAGCCUCUUUCAACCUCAAAAGUUAGGCCAAGGGGUGAGGCUUUCCCUCACACUUAUAAAGUCACUACCGGCCCCUUCCACAACCGAUAUGGGAUAAUUGAAACAAGUAGCAAUUAUAGUUUAUCUAAUUAGAAUAAAAAGGACUUUUGAAGGAAAAUGAAUUAAUAAGAAGAUUCUCUUGUAAUGAAAACCAUAAAAAAUAGGGAUAUACUAAAUACACAUUGAUUUUUAUCUUUCCAAUUGUAUAAGAUUGAUGUAAAUUUGUUUUUCCUACAAAAAUAACAAUAACAGUUAAAUCUCAUAUAUAUCUUAUGUUUCACUGGUAUUAAAUAACUCUUAGAUUGUCUAAUUCACAUAAAAAUCAAUAGUAAAUCCACAUUUAAGUAAUGCACCUCUAAAGAAAUAUUAAUUUCACAUUUACGUUCCCAAUCAUAUUAGCUAUCAUAAUUAAUAUUUUCUUUUUGCAGGAAUAAAAAAUUAAUAUAUAACUAAAUAAUGUAAAUUACGAAUCAACGUGAACAAAAGAUAAACUGUCUCCUACCAUACAUAACAUUCUAAAAUUUUUUACUAACUUGCCCAAGCAUAGGUAAUCUCGAUGUCAUAUGAUAGGUAAUAAUGAUUGACACAUAAUGACAUUCAAUAUUACACUAACGAUAAAUAGUAAACAACAUUGUAAUAUGAUCUCGAUAUAUAUAAAUUUUUUUUUAAUAACAAUCAUAUUAAGUAGUUUGAAACUAAAGUUUUUAACUGACUUAUUUCUAUUAGUAAUUUCAUAGUUUAUGUAAUCUACAUGAACAUUUAAUAUUAGGCGCGAAACCCAUUUUAUUCUUCCCUUUUUGUUUUGACAACUCAUGUAUGUAUGUAUGUAUCAUGUUUUUCUUUCUUUUCUUUUUCAAGAAAAAAAAAGAGCAAAAUUUGAAUCUUAAUCCUCUUGUUUUCAGCCUACAAAAUGUUACCAUUUUAACUAGAUGAUGCCCAUGAAUUACAAGAUGUUACCAUUUGCACACUCUUAAAUUACUAGUACUUCUUAAAAUACAGCAUUAGCAUUUAUCAAAGUAUAAUGCUUUUAGAUCUCCAUAUGUUUUCACUAACUAUUGUUUAAAGUAUUAUAUAUUUUAAAUUACUAUUAAUAAUUUUCGAAGAAAUUGCACAAACAUUAUGUAUUAUUCAUUUAUCUGUUGAUAAGAUGGUUAAAUAAAUAAUUUUAUAGGUUGCAAAUUUUAUCAUUUAAUAGAUGGAUGACACUUCACUUGAAAUGAGGCUCCUAAGAAAUAUAUUACUUAUGAAGCAUAAAUUAUUUGUAAAAGAAAUUAAAAUUAGCUUGAUUCAAAAACUUGAUUAGUUUCGUUGUAUAUAUAAUUUGGGGAGAUUGUCAAUUUUUAUCCCUAAUAUUUUUACUUUUUCCUCUUACUCUUAAAAGGCUUUCAACUUUAAUGAACAAAUAUGGUUGUUUUGUGGCUGCGAAAGGUUUUUCUAUGAGGAUUGUUUAAUGUAUCACAAAUAUUUUGUCAUCGUUAUUUUAUCUCAUGAAUCUUUUUUUUUUGUGUGUCUUCAACUUUGGAAAAAUUAAAUAACAGUGACAAAAUUAAAGGGUUUUAAAUUGAAAUAUCUAAAACAAAAAAUAAUAAUUGUAAGCCUACAUGUUGCUAUAUUUUAUUGUUUUAAAUUAUUUAGAAUUUAUCAAAAGUAAAAACUAAUUAAAAUUCGAAAGAAAAAAAGAGGUCUGAGAUUUGCGGUUGAAGGAAAUUUUAAUUUUUUAAAAGAAUGAGUUGGGCUUUAUUCUGCUGUACCGUACAUCCGCCUUGGCCGUACAGCAGGCGCAUAUGAGCUUCCAUUAUUUGAUGUUUGGUCCCCGUAUCUGUAAGGAUUUGCAGUAUCUAAUUGCUUGGAUAAUUAAUUAAUUAAAUAGUUUCUUUCUUUUUUAAAGCAGAAAUUCCAUAUCUCUUGUGUGUUUUGUUAUCAACAAAAUUUUUUAUCAACUUCUCCGAUGCAUUGAAUUGGAAAAAAUCUAAACUAUAGAAAUUGUUGUCAUCAAAAAUCAGGAUUUAUUUGUGUUCAUGAUGAACACUUUGCAUAUAUGCACAUAACUUUGUUUAAAUUAAAAAAAAAAUCCACUUUAUUUGUUAUUAUGAUCUUGAUUCUAUGGGUUAUUGAUCUCCAUAAGAGUUUUAGACCAAGUCUGCUGUGUGUCAUUUGAAACCUUCUCUUGUCCAAUAAAAGCUGACCAGUUGUCGGUCCGAGCAUCGGCAAGAACCCAUGUAACUUCUUCAGGCCGGUUUUUAAAGUCAAAUUUAAUACGUUUAGCUUUAGCACCAAUCUUCCUCCCCCUCUUUGGCUGUUGGCUACUUGAUUGAGGGUCAGGGUUAGAGCUCCCAGCAGCAUCCUGCGUGUAUAUGUAUACUCAAGGAUGUUACAUCGAAUAUAAGAAAAUUGAAAACAACAAUUUAAAUACUAGCCAAAGAUGAGAUGUGAUUUUGAAAGCUCACUCACAUUGGUAAGGCCAACUACUGGUGGUGUCUCAAGCUUUUUCCGGUCAUUUUCUUGCAAUGCGUUAGGAGUAAUUGGAUUAAUAUUUUGUCCCUUUGACAGUAAGUGCUUCUCGACUUCUUUAAAUGAUCUGAACUGCUUGUUUGUCCCCGGCUCAUAGUAGAACUGCACAUUCAUUUGAAACACAGUCAGCAAUCAGGCGCACCACAUGCUUUUGAAAUAAAUUUCUGUAACUAUACAUUUGAGCUAUUAAUUGAAAAAUACUCAGUACAUAAUAAUUAAUUAAAAUUAAUAAACAUGUCCCACAGAGUUAUAAACAACAUGCAAUUUCAGCAUACUGCAGCUCUCUAAUUUGAAAGUUAACUUUCAAAGCUAUGAAAACCUAGAUAAGAAGAAAUUGAGUGUUGGAGCAACCUGGUCAAUUUUUCCUUUGUAAUUAGCGUGGGUUCUUUGCCUCUGCUCGAACAUCCACCCUUCAGGCAAUCCAAUUCUUCUGCCGUCUAUCAGUGGACCUCUAGGGCCUUUUCCCCUUCUCGGCUUUUGAUCAAGAGCAGGCACCAUCCUCAAAGGCACAGCGUCAAUGAUCUGAAGCUCAUUGGGCGGAAUCAAAGUGUUAGUUUCUUCGGCUUUCGUCAUCUGCAAAAUGCAACAAAAAAAGAAAAAAGAGAAACCCAAAUAAAUAUACAAUUACAGAGAAAAUUGACUUAUCAUGGUGGUGAUAAAAGUGAAGAAAUGAAAUCUUUUGUGUCGUUUGAUUUAGUGGGUGCAUGUACGACCUGGGGGAAUAGAGAGAGUGAAUUACUUUUUUUUAUGGCAAAUACAUGUAACUAUCAGUCCUUGAGUGUUAGGUAUUGUGUAAGAAAAACAAAAUAAAUUAUACCUAGGAGGUUAUAUAAGUUUAUAACAUGCAAUGACUUUUAAGGCAAAAAAAAAAAAGUUUAUGUAUGGCUGAAAUAAACCUAUCUCUUCUAGAUUAAUUUAUGCAUGCAUGUUAAAAUAGAAACUUGUGGGUACUAAUCCUAUCAUUAAUUUGAAAGGGACAUAAGAAUAUUGUUGAUAAAGAAUGUAGUAGUGUUAGGUGGUCUUGGACAUCUCCCAACUCCAAAAGUUAGUUCAAGAGGUAAGGUAUUCCCUCAUAGUUAUAAAUUCACUAUUAGACCCAUCCGCAAUCGACGUGGGAUAACCUCAACAAUCUCCUCCUUCCACAUUGGGCUUUGGGUUAAAAGCAUAGAUAUUCGUUCUUCCGAUUAGAUUGUUGGUGAACCUGGACUCUGAUGCCGAUAUUAGGUGGUCUUGGGUCUUUCUCAACUCCAAAAGUUAUCUCAAGAGAUAAAGCUUUCUCCCACAUUUAUAAAGUCACUACCAGCCCCUUUCACAAUCAAUAUGGGAUAACCCCAACAAGUAGCAAUUGUAACUUUAUCUAAUUAAAAUGAAUAAAACUUUUGAAAGAAAUAGAAUUAAUAUUAAUUUGAAAGCAACUUAGGAAUAUUGUUAAUAAAGAGUGUAGUAGCAAUUGUAAGUUUAUCUAGUUAGAAUAAAUAAAACUUUUGAACGAAAAAGAAUUAAUAAGAAGAUUCUCUUAUAAUGAAAACCUUAAAGAAAAAGGAUAAGUUAAAUACACGUUUAUUUUUACCUUUCUAAUUGUAUGAGAUUUAUACAGUUUUUUUUCAUAUAAAAAUAACAUUAACAGUUAAAUCUCAUAGAUAUCUUAUGUUUCACUGGUAUUAACUCUUAGAUUGUCCAUUUCACAUAAUAAUUAGUAGUAAAGUUACAUUUAAGUAAUUCAUCUCUAAAGAAAAUAUUAAUUUCAUAUUUAUGUUCCCAAUCAUAUUGGCUAUCAUAGUUCAUAAUUUCUUUUUGCAGCAAUAAACAAUUAACAAAUAACUAUAUAUUGUAAAUUAUGAAUCUACAUGAACUAACAAUAAAUUGACUCCUACCAUACAUAACAUUCUACAAUUUUUAACUAACUUGCCCAAGCAUAGUUAAUCUCGAUGUCAUAUAACAAGUAAUGAUUGACACAAAAUGACAUUCAAUCUUACACUAACGAUAAAUAGUAAACAAUAUUGUCAUAUGAUCUCAACUUAUAUACAAUUUUUUUUUGUAACAAUUAUAUUAAGUAGAUUUUAACUAACCUAUUUUUCUAGUAAUUUCUUAAUUUAUGUAUUCUACGUGCACAUCUAAUAUUAGGUGCGAAACCUAUUUUAUUCUUUCCUUUUUUGUUUUGACUACGCAUGUAUGUAUCAUGUUUCUUUUUCAUCUUUUCAAGAAAAAACGCACGAAAUCACAUUUACACUCUGUGCCCCCCAUUGACCCAAAAGGAAACUUGAGAUCCAUAAAUCAGUUUGCUAUUGGAAAAGAAAAAACGCGCGAAAUCACAUUUACGCUCUAUACCCCCUUCUGACCCUCAAAAAAAAAAACUUGAGAUCCAUAAAUUAGUUUGCUAAUGAAAAACAAUUAAUCACAUUUAUGCAUAUAGCUCAGUAUUAAUUAUUGACAAUAAAAAAAGUCUAUAAAUAGUUACAGAGACAACGAUAACAUGCCGCAUCUUGCAAUCCAUCUGUUGCUACACGUGAUGGAAGAGGCUGCAAUUCAUAAUUAUCCUUUAAUUAGUGUUCAUUGAUGGAAGCUAAAAAAGUCUACAAUAUAUGCAGGGUAGAUUAAGAGAUUACUUAAUAACCUGAAAUUGAAUUGAUAGAGAGUGGAAUUUGGAUAGAGAUAUAAUGUUCAGUAGGUUCAAAAAGAAAGCAAUCAGGAUGAAUCAUGAAUAAGAAUUUGUUGUCAUCGAGGAUAUUGUCGAUUUAUUUAUUUAUUUUUUGUUUUUUUUUUGUUUUAAGGAAUUUGUCCAUUUCUCGCGCCAUAUGUCUCCUAAAAUGUCGGGACUAGAAAAAAUGACGGUAAUUUAUUUAAAUUAACCAAUGAAUGAGAGAAUCAUACUGCGGAACUAAUAUGACUAAUAAUCAAAUAAAGCUUACAUGAACGAGAGAAUCAUGUACCUUAAUUCUUUAUUCCUCAAUUGUUGUUCUCGGGUUAAUUCACAAACUUUUAAAACUUAGUAAAAUUGUUAAAUUAAAAAAAAAUGUUAAUUAAGCAAAAUUACAUCAGAUAUGUGCCUCAAGCCAUCUAAUUUGUUGAUGAUCUUAUUAGAGAAUCAAGAAAAUGUCAUAUAGAAAGGGGAUCAUGAUCCUCUCUUGAUUUGAGCGCUCUAGAUCUUUUAAAGAUCUUAUGCCACAUGUGUUUUAGUGUUAGUGAAUGAUUGAGAUUUAACUACUUUUUCUUUUUAAUUUAUUAACCACCAAUUAUAUUAACAAAAUUUACUCAGAUAAAGAUCAGAUCAGGAGAGGAUCCCGAUUCAUAGCAAGGAUAUGAGCCCCAUCGGUCAUUUGCUUUGAUGCCAAUGUCGGUAUUGAUGAUGAGGCCUUCAUGUCUCUAGUUUUCCAACCAAUUAACCUUGGAAAUUAAGAAAGAGAGGUGGAUAGAGAGAGGAAACAGAUCUAGUGAGUGUCAAAUAAAUUGGCUUAUUGUUGUGUCCUUUUUAUUGCAUGCAAAAUUUGGCAAUGUUUGCACAUUUGGCAAGUAAAGGUGGAUGAGAUUCAGGUGGGAAAAUUUGCUAAAGCAACGGCUACGCUCAUCAUUAUGGUCCAAAUUAAGUUUAUAUAGGCAUUAUGCUAUAAUUUUAUCUAGGCAGACCCCUUUUUUUUUCCCCUGUUUUGAAAUACUGUAGGAUUUAGUAGUCAUUUUACUGUAAGGAUUUACAGUAUCUAAUUGCUUGCAUAAUUAAUUAAUUAAAUAGUUUCUUUCUUUUUUAAAGUAGGAAUUCCAUAUCUCUUGUGUUUUUUUAAUUAACAAAAAUUUUUAUCAACUUCUCCGCUGGUUUGAGUAGGAAAAAAUCUAAAGUCUAGAAAUUGUUAUUAUCAUGGGUUUUAUCACUGCUGUUUGUGAAAAUAAGUUAACUCAUCUGUCAAAAGUUUCAAAAUCUCUUUGCCUCAAUGAUCUUUAAUUACAAUUUGUAUAAGGUGCUUUAAAUUUACUAAAUAAGAGAAAUUCUAGAAUACUUCUAAAGUAUUGCAACCAAUUGAUGCAUGCACGAUAUGUGUAAUUAAUUUUAAUAUAACCACCACUUAUAUAAUGAUUUUUUAAAAUAAAUGUACACAUUCUGAAGAAUUUGAAAGAUAAAACACAAAUUUUUAUUGAAGAAACCUCAAGGAUAAAACACAAUUCAUACUCUCAGAGGCUUACUUAUGUUUUGCUUCUCCUUAGAUUUGAUGCAUAAACCAAAGGGAAGAGGGGGUAUAUAUAACUAAAACAAACCAAUCAUAAUCAUUCAUUUAUUCAACUACCACACAAAUCCUCACUGUUUAUCAAAACCUACCAUUCACCUACUACACCAACCACACCAAUCUUACUUAUCACCCAAGCUCAUCUAACACCUCCCCUUAAACUGGUUUUAUAACACCCAAUAAAUUUUUUAACCUGAAGAAAUCUUCUUGCUUUAGUGGCUUGGUGAGAAUGUCAGCAAUUUGAUUAUGUGAUUUGACAUACUUGUAUUUCAUUUUUUCUAAUGCACUCUUGUAUGAAAUGAUAACGAGUAUCGAUAUGUUUGCUUUGAUCAUUGAAGAUUGGUUAGAGCAAUUACUGGUUUGUUAUAGACACAAAUCUUAGUUGGAUCUACUUCUUCACCUUCAUCAUGUUUGGAUAACUUGACUUCGUAUUCGACUGGCGUGCUUAUAGGCUUGCAAUCAUUCAUCUUGAACUUCUUGAUAAUCUCUUCUGCAUAGCUUUCUUGGGAGAUAAAUAUGCCUUUUUUUUCUAACUUGACUUCAAUGUCGAGGUAAUGUGCUAUCAAUCCGAUGUUAGUCAUCUCAAACUCUUUAAUCAUCACUCUCUUAAACUCUUCAAAUAAGCUUAUAUUACUUCUAUUAAAGAUGAGAUCAUCCCUAUACAUGCACAUGAUUAAAAUGUCUUUAUCAUUUUCUUUGACAUAGAGAGCAUGUUCAUAUGGGCAUUUGGUGCAGUCGUUCUUUUGAAAAUACUUGCCAAUUCUAUUAUUCCAUGCCUUUGGUGCUUUUUUUUAGCCCAUAAAGAGUUUUCUUCAAUAUCAGAACUUUGUGUUCGUAUCCUUUCACAUAUAGCCUAAUAGUUGUUCGAUAUAGACUUCCUUUUUAAAGAAUCUAUUUAAGAAAGCACACUUCACGUCUGUUUGAAGAAUCAUCCAUUUUUUCUGAGCAGCCAAAAAAAUAAUAGUUUCAAGUCAGGCUACAAGAGAAAAUACCUCAUUGUAAUUAUUGCUAGUUUUUUUACUAUCGCCUUUUGCAAUUGUCCUUACUUUGUCCCUUUCAAUUUCUCCUUUGGCAUUUCUCUUCGUUUUGUAUACCCAUUAGACACCGAUCGCCUUAUAACCUUUAAUAAGAGUAGUAAGUUCCUAAGUGUCAUUCUUUACAAUGGCUUUGAUUUUUUUCAUCUAUUGCGAUUCUCUAUUUCUCAUCUUGUACAGUUUCUUGGAAGUUGAUUGGCUCAUAAUUAGCAAAGAGACAAAAAAGAAUGAGAUUAUCAAGUCUCUUCAUUACCUCAUAGAGAUCUUGUAAAUUUCUUGUGCGCGUCCUAUCUCUCUUUUCUAAAAAUGCUGGUGAUGAGUCUCCAUAAGUGCUUAUUAUUGGUAAAUUAAAUUAAGUUAUGGGUUCUUGUUGUUCUCCUGCUUGCUGCUUUGAUGUUUGCACGUCUUAUUUAAAGGGAUAAAAGUUAAAGUCACAAGCAUUACAGCCAAAAUCUCACUCUCAUUCUUCAUUAAAAAUUACAUAUUUGCUGAUCAAUCUUUCCAUUGUUUGGAUUGUACAGUUUGUAUCAUUUGGAUUUGUUAUCAUAGCGAAUGAAGAUAAACUUCUCGCUUUUGUCAUCUAGCUUAGUUCAUUUCUCGUCUUUUCUCUUUUGGUGCAUGUACAUGAGCUAUGCUUUUGAAAACUCUUAGAUGUGAGAUGCCUGGCUUUUUGCCACUCCAUACUUUUUGUGGUGUCUUGCCCCAUACAUUUCUUAUUGGAGAUCUAUUAGAUAGGUGGACUGCAUAUGCAAAAACUUUUGCCUAAAACUCUUUAGGCAAUCUGUUAUAGUGCAAUUUAUGCACUAGUUUUGCAUUGUUUACUUCCCUUAAUUCGAUAUUUUGCACUUAAUAAUAGUGAUUUACUUGUGUUUUACUUUUGUAGGUGUAAUUCUAUUGAUUAGCGAUAAAAUUGAACUACAAGAUGAUGUUUAAGGAUGAUUGUUCUCUUGGAGAAAUUAUGAGCGUCAGAAGAACUUUGUUGAUAAGGCGUGGGCGCGUGCUGUCAACUAUAGACCUGCAGUUUUUAGUUUAACAUGUUUUGUAUUUUUAGUUAUUUUUGUAAUCACGAAUUUAAUAUUUCAAAUAUCAGUAUUUUAUUUUAAAUAGAACUUUAGAGGAGAAGAGAGAGAGAGUAUUUAAGGGAGGAAUCUAUUAUGAAAAAGGGGGAUUGGCAAAAAGAAAAAAACCCUAGAUUUAAAUUUUUCUCUUCUCUCUAUGAAGAACUAAAUCUAUUAUUCUGGUUGAAGGUUAAUGAAGCUUUGAUUCAUCACUAUAGUGAGAUCUUUCUUAUAUUUUAAUUGUUUUAUUACUUUUUGGGUAUUUGUUUAUGCUCUGAAUUAUUUUCAUGAUUAUGUUUGUUAAUAAGGUAAUUGGCCACUAUUUAAUUAUCAACUUAAUCUAUUGACAAUUAAAGGAUUCAUCGUAUGAAGAUUUUAAUGUUGGUGAUAAAUAGCAUAGCAGUGAGUUGUGUUAUGAGAAUAAACAAUCUAAUUUAAAUGAAUCAUCGUGUGCGUUUGUUGAUUAGGAUUUGGGUCUCUCUGAUUUUUCAGGCUAUCAAUUGAUUAAAUCCUAUGAUCGUAUUUAGGGUUGUCUAUUAAUUAAGGAAAUAACCAACGAUCGUACCUUAGUUAUCGACUAGUUAAGAAGAGAUUGGCUAUUAGAGGGUCUCAGUAGCUAUAACCGAUUUAUUCAUAAGUAGUAAUAAUUUAUAUUUGAAUCAAUGAUCAGUAGUCGAAUCAAGCUGAGUUAAUUCCUUCAACCAGAGCUUUCUCCAAUUUGAAUUACAACUUUAAUUUGCAUUCUUGUUAUUUUAAUUUGAUUUUUAUUAUUGUCAACAAUUCCCCCAUUUUACGUUUUACAUUUUAAAAGGAUUUAAAUAAUUACCGAUAUAUGUGGACACGACCCUGCUCAAUCACUAUACACAAUUUAUUUAGAGCAGGUAUUUAUUUUUGCUGGCUUCAACAACCAUCACAAUCUUUUGCUUUUGAGCAUGUUCUUGCCAUAUCGAGGAUAAUUAUAUUCUUCUUUUCCACCAUACCAUUUUGUUAGAAGGAUUAAGGAACUGUCAAAGGGCAUCGAAUUCUAUUUGCUUUGCAAAACUCUAGGAAUUUUUUGGAAAUGAAUUCUCCUCCUCGAUUAGAUCUUAUGACUUUAAGUUGGUAUCCACUUUCUUUCUCGACUGUAGCUUUGAACCUCUUGAAAGUUGUAAAAACUUUUAACUUUUGCUUUAAAAAAACACUUAAGUUUUUCUUAAAAAAUCAUCAAUAAAAAAAGAAAUUAGAUAUUUUUACUGAGAGCGAUUGGCUUAAUUGAUCUGUUCACAUCAAUAUGAAUAAGCUUGAGUGGCUUCUGGGCUUUUGAGUUUGACUUCUUUGGAAAGUUUUUCCUAAACUACUUGUCAAGUAAACACCCUUUACAAAGUUGAUUGGACGAUUAAUUGAAGGUAUGCAUUUUACCAUGUUCUUUUUUUUUUAAUGGUUGCUCUAAUCCUCUAAAGCUGAGAUAUCCAUAUCGAAGAUGCCAAAUCCAAGAUGAAUCUUUGUGACAAGCUUUGAUACAUGUUGGGUAAUUUUUAUUGCUAUAGAUUUCAAUGUACAAGUCUAAACAACAACUAAUAUACUGAUGAGUAUUCAGUUGCUAUAGGUGUUUGAUGAAUGAAACACAAAUUUUUAUUAAAGAAAGUCAUCUGGACUUGUAUCUUGUAUGGUAUAAUUGACUGGAAAUAUUUUUUUCUUUAAUUUUAAUUGUUAACUAAGGACAAGAUGGGCAUUUUAAUUUACCAAACAGGACCCUGGGAUAGAGAACAACCCGUAUCUGGGCUUUGUUUACACAUCGUUUCAAGAGCGCGCCACUUUCAUAUCACACGGCAACACGGCCCGCCUGGCGAAAGAGGGAGGUGAUCCAGUGCUCGCGCGCAUAUGUGGAACCAUUGCAUCAGAUGACAAGCGCCACGAAAACGCCUUCGCUAGGAUCGUCGAAAAGCUCCUUGAAGUGGACCCCACGGGCAUGGCCGCUCACUUGAUGUACGAUGGGCAUGACCCACAGCUGUUUGCGCAUUUUGCGAUAGUGGCUCAGCAGCUUGGCGUGAAUACGGCACAUGACUGCGGAUAUUUUAGAGUUUUUGAUUGGACAGUGGGGAUUGGAGAAGCUGGAAGGGUUGACGGGUGAAGGGAGACGUGCACAAGAGUUUGUGUGCGGCUUAGCGCCUAGGAUUAGGCGACUGCAGGGGUUAGCCGAUCAGCAAGCCAAGAAGCUGAAGCUGUCUCGCGUUAAGUUUAGCUGGAUUUUUAAUAGGAAACUCAGCCUGUAAAAAUUAAAAAUUAAAAACCCCAAAAAAAAAAAAAAUUCUUUUACAAUGUAUUUCCCUAAUGUUAUGCAUACAUCAUGGUACUUUUUAGCAUAUAUAGAAUGUAAUCAAACUUAAUUAAGAUCUUGGGUGAAAAUUCUAGUUUUCAUUUUACUUUCUUAGUUUCUGAUAAUGCUUGAUUUCAUCAUAACACGCAGGUACAUAUAUUCUAAUCGACUCGUUGAGCCCGGGUUUGCUCCUUGACCAUCACUCCCUCAUAUGUCCAUGGUUGCACUCCUUCUUCUUCCUUUAAUUUGCUCUAUUGACGGCAUCUUUUCGUUUAGCUCCCCACAAACGAUGCCAAAAUAUUGAUGCAACAUUCUAGUUGAGCUUUAUAGCGACCAAGAAACCACUUCAACACCUAAAUUUAUAAGUGAUAGGGGGCGAUUUUGAGCUGUUUCCUCUCCUAAUGAACAAGAUCUUGGGGCUUCGAGCUUCUUAUAAAAAAAACUCCUACACACACAAUCACCCAGUCAUAGGAUACUGAAGAUUUUUCUGGUGUAAACCCUCUGACUCUCAAGUUAUCGAUCUGGGCUUAUUUUAGAACAACUAUACCACCAAUCCUAUGGCUUAAUUAUAAUUUAAUUUUUUAAUUCUAGAAAGAUUUGCUUUUAAAACUCCAAGAAAUAUCAAAAAGAGAAACUAUAAAGUAAAGGGAAAUUAAGAUAUAGACGAGUUCAAUGUCUAAGUGUCUAACCCCAUUACCUUUAUCCAUUAUACUUUUUAUACCCAGCUUGAAUAUUCGGCCUCCGUCACCCUACAAUCGUUAUUGAAUCAUUUGUACCAUUGUGGGUAAAUAGGCGUCACAACCGUUGUUGAGUGGGUUUUGUGCCCGAACUCUCUAGAAGAAGUUCACAUGCUAAUAACUUCAAUUGACCAAGUAUUUUAUCCAACUCGACCAAGGUCUCUCCUCGUUCUCCCCUAUCUAGCUAUACUAGAGCAAUCAGCUAACAACUCCUUGAAAAUGAGCUUCCACGAGGAGUUACUUUUCGCCGAAGGAAGUUGUUGGGUGAUUUCUAUUGCUAUAGGUUUCAAUGUGCAAUUGUACACAAUAAGUAAUAUGCUGAUGAAUAUUCAGAUCGUCUCCACAAGGAUUGAUAUGAUCAGAUUUUGUACAACAAUCGUAACAAUAGAAUUUCAAUCUGAAUUAAAAUAGAAUAAUUAAUGAAACUAAGUAACUAACUAAAUUAUAAUAAAUCCAAUAAAUAAAAUACAAUAAAAAAAUUAGCCAAACACAAGGAUGUAAUUAACGGGGAAGGGAGUAGUUGAGUGAUUAAACUCAAUCAAUGGCAUUAGACUUUUUUUUUCAAUUAUAGUACCGUUACUAUAACAUCUACUACAGUACUGGGUAAAAUCUCUCAUGCAUCCUUAAUUGUCGCUUGUUGGAUACCUUAUACCUUAAUGCAACCUAACAGUAACCAAUUGUUAUGCUAUCAUUAGAUAUAACAUUAUACAUUCUAGGUUCUGUUUACUCUACAAGGUGAAUCUUUAUGUCUAGUUCUUCACUAAUUUUAGUCAAGUAUGACCCUAUUUAAAUAAAGAUUAACUCAACUUGGGAAACCCAAUCUAAAACCAUUUACUGUAUUAAUUUAUUCCACUAAGUCAGAUUUUUUUUAAAUUCCUUCUUAAAUAGUAUGCAUUAAAUGGGUGGUCAGCCAAAAUACGGAAUUGCAAUAAUUAAAAUUAAGACAAAUUGCUAUAACAAAUACAGAGCAAUACACAUAUGUCAGUCAAAUAACCAUUAAGCUUGUUUCUCAUUCAACCACAUCAAAGUUCAGUUAAUGAUUUAUGAUAAACUAGUAAAUAAAAUUGUUUUAGCCAUCAAGUACAUUCCCAUAAAUAAAUAAAAACAAGAAAAUAAGAAAAAUAAUUAAGCUCUCCUUAGUCUUGGUGAUUUCUCCUCCGUUUUCUCCUUGAAUCCUCUAUUGCAGCCCUUCAAUCUCUCUUAUUCUCUGUUUUCUUUUCGUUUUUCUCUGUUAUUUUUCUUUCUUUUCAUGCGCGCUCCUUUUAUAACUUGGAAUUAAGGCACUACAAGUAUAUGACGUGUAUCUUCCAUUUUUGGAAAUUUUAUAUUGCAAUCUUUUAGUUAUUGCGCACGAAAUCCAGUUUGUUAUUGCUCCAAGAUUGCUGCAGCAACGACUACAACAACUUCAGUCAUUCAAACUUGUUUUAUUCAUCUACAACUAAGUUAUUUUGUCAUCUUUGCAAGUCUGUUGCAGUAACAUUCCAUCCCCAAAACUUGAGCUUUUCGAUCACGUACAGUCAUGCACAUAAUCUAAGCACAUAAUGAUCUAAACCAAACUCAAUUCAUUAAAAAUAAACUAAAAUAGAUGCUAAUGCAAAAUAUAACUAAAAUACGAUAACAACACAUCAUUCACUUUCGAAAUAAUAUUUAUUUGAGUCUAAAAAUGUCACGAUAACACUUUACACCCCAAACAACUAUUUUUUAAGUUUAUUUGAAAAAUAUCUUGUAGAGGCCUUUAGUAACUUGAAGAAAUGCAUUUCAAAUAUUUUUUUAAUUGAUUAUCCGUAUUCAAAUCGUGGAAAAAGUAACAUGAUUAAAAUAUCAAUUUGGACUUUUUCUGAGGGAAAAAAAAAAAAGAAACUUGUGGAACACUCUUAAUUAUCAAUUUCUCUCUCCGGUCAUAAGAGCAAAAUUUGAAUCUUAAUCCUCUUGUUUUCAGCCUACAAAAUGUUACCAUUUUAACUAGAUGAUGCCCAUGAAUUACAAGAUGUUACCAUUUGCACACUCUUAAAUUACUAGUACUUCUUAAAAUACAGCAUUAGCAUUUAUCAAAGUAUAAUGCUUUUAGAUCUCCAUAUGUUUUCACUAACUAUUGUUUAAAGUAUUAUAUAUUUUAAAUUACUAUUAAUAAUUUUCGAAGAAAUUGCACAAACAUUAUGUAUUAUUCAUUUAUCUGUUGAUAAGAUGGUUAAAUAAAUAAUUUUAUAGGUUGCAAAUUUUAUCAUUUAAUAGAUGGAUGACACUUCACUUGAAAUGAGGCUCCUAAGAAAUAUAUUACUUAUGAAGCAUAAAUUAUUUGUAAAAGAAAUUAAAAUUAGCUUGAUUCAAAAACUUGAUUAGUUUCGUUGUAUAUAUAAUUUGGGGAGAUUGUCAAUUUUUAUCCCUAAUAUUUUUACUUUUUCCUCUUACUCUUAAAAGGCUUUCAACUUUAAUGAACAAAUAUGGUUGUUUUGUGGCUGCGAAAGGUUUUUCUAUGAGGAUUGUUUAAUGUAUCACAAAUAUUUUGUCAUCGUUAUUUUAUCUCAUGAAUCUUUUUUUUUUGUGUGUCUUCAACUUUGGAAAAAUUAAAUAACAGUGACAAAAUUAAAGGGUUUUAAAUUGAAAUAUCUAAAACAAAAAAUAAUAAUUGUAAGCCUACAUGUUGCUAUAUUUUAUUGUUUUAAAUUAUUUAGAAUUUAUCAAAAGUAAAAACUAAUUAAAAUUCGAAAGAAAAAAAGAGGUCUGAGAUUUGCGGUUGAAGGAAAUUUUAAUUUUUUAAAAGAAUGAGUUGGGCUUUAUUAGACUUAUACAUGUCCUUAAAUCUAAGUCUCUCUAAUAAUUAAACUAUGAAUACAACAGUAAGGCGUUUGACAAGGAUAAUGAUGGGGUGCUAAUAGCUCUACGUAAACAUUUUAUCUUCCAUUUAUUUGGGCUCAAACAUUCCGGCCGGUAUCUAUUUAAACCUCUCUCCCACGGCAACCAUGAAAACAGUUAUCCCUCCCUAUAUUCUGGUCUCUCCAAAAAAUCAUAAUUAAAAUUUUUAUUAUCUCCCGACUCCUCUAUCUCAACAUAUGUCCUCACCCACUCGCAACACACACUCAUCCACAACACAAUUUUUUUCUUUUUCAAGUUUUAAUUUAACGGUACCUCAAUAUCCUCCCUAUCCAUGUAAGCGGAAUUGCGGAUCUUUUUUUUUUUUUGAUACAAUGGAGCCUAGUAAAGAUUAGGACAAAACAGAGCAGGGAAUAGUAUUCCCAUAGAUAUCAUUACAUAACCAAUAUCCAAUACCCUCUGGUGGGUUAUCAAAAUCAUGAAAAUCGAGAGGUAAAAAUCCUACCAACUUGGCCAUGAAAUCAGCAGCAAAAUUAGCUUUCCGAUAUAUAUGUUUUAUUGUAAUUUGCCAAUCUCUAUUCAUCAACUCCUUGAUGGCAUUGAUAAGUGAAAGAUGUGCAUUAGGCUUUGUUCUUGUGGAAGAGAUAAGUUGAAAGAUACAUUGGCUGUCCACCUCUGCCACCAAGUAACGGAUACCCCGAUCCCACGCAAGAUGAAGACCUUGAAACAAAACCCAUAAUUCAGCAGAAGUCACCGAACAAAGACCAGUGUUCAUGCCAUAUCCAAAUUGCCACUUGCCAGAGCAGUCCCUCACCAAUCCUCCAACACUUGCCAAACCAUUUUUUAAUCGAGAACCAUCUGUAUUCAAUUUGAAAAAGGAUUCCGAGGGAGCUUGCCAGCCAAUUUCUUUGAUGAUUUUACUAGUACGAACAACAUUGAGACCUGCUCUUGCAAUAUGGAUAUCAUGAACCCACGAUCUAAUUUCCGUGACCAUCUGAGUGCAGCAAGAGGCAUUGUGUGUGAAGAUAAAUUGGUUGCACCAGAACCAAAUUUUCCAAACAGCAACGCCAAAUAAGCAGGCCCAUUCAUCCACAACCUUAUUGAUACCAACCUUGCCCAAGUUAAAGCAUAACCAGUCACGGAGAUGAAGAGAGAAAAAGGAUUGCUUGAGCAUAUCUGGAGCCAAAUGAUUCCAAAUUUUUUUUGCCACAACACAAUCACGAAGAGCAUGGAUUACAUCUUCCUUUUCCUUUCCACAAUAUUCACAAUCCAUAGAAAUUUGGAUGUGCCUCUUAAAUAGCUCCUCUUUUGUUUUAAUUCUUCCAUGCAUUACCAACCACAAGAAAAUGCGAAUCCUCUGGGGUCAUUUCCAAUGCCAAAUCAAUUUCCAUAUAUGGGCAUCAUUAUUGGAGAUUGGAUUAUUAAGGGAGAUAUAAGCUGACUUAGAUGUGAACUUGCCUGAUUUUGAGUGAACCCAAAAAGGUUGAUCCUCGUUGUUGUCAUCCGAAGGUGGUUUGAUUGCUACAAUCUGGAGAAGAAUCUGGUUGGGAAGAAAAUGACCAAACAUACUCCAAUUCCAAUUUCCCUUAAUAUCCACAAAAUCCGCCACACAUUUAUUCUUCAAUUCAUCCGGUAAUUGAGUUAUAGUAUGAUUAGCAAUGAGAAGCUCUUCCGAAACCCAACUUUGAUGCCAAAAAUUUACCUUAUUCCCUUUUCCAAUCGACCAUCUCGUGCCCUGCAACACAUACCCCCAUAUUCUGCUUAUGCCUUUCCAGAGAUAAGAGCCGCGUUUAUUCUCAAGCUUGGAGGGAAUAAAAUCUGAACAAGCCCAUAUUUUGAUCUCAAAACCCGAAUCCAGUGACUGUGAGUAGAGGUUAGCACAUUCCAUCCAAUUUUCAUGAGGAGAACAUUGUUCAUGUUUGUAAGAUUUUUAAAACCUAGACCACCUUCAGCUUUUGGAGAACAUAUCAUUUUCCAAUUAAUCAAACUGAGUUUAUGGCUUCCAUUCUUGCUCCCCCAAAUAAAUCUUUGAGAAAUCCGAUCAAUUUUAUCCAAAAUUCCAUGAGGGAUCCUUGUUGUUUGCAUGGAAAAAAUGGGGAUCGCUUGAAUUACCGAUUGAGCUAGAGUAAUUCUCCCAGCAAGGAAGAGAUGCAUUGCAUUCUAUCCAAACAGAUUUUUAUCAACAUUAUCCACAAUUUCUUAAUAAGUGGCUUUUGUCACUCUAUUGUGAAGUAAAGGCAUUCCAAGAUAUUUUCCAAGAUUAUCCGUAGCGGUAAAUCCCAAUGAAUCACUGAUUUUCCUUGCCUUUUCUGCAAUAACAUUCUUUGAGAAAUAAACUCGAGUAUUCUGUUUGCUAAUCAACUCUCCCAAAAAUAUUCAGCACAUUAUUGAUCACAUGGGCUUGGUUGCAAGAAGCCUCGGUGAGAAGAAGUAGGUCAUCUGCAAAAAAGAGGUGAGUAAGAGGAACAUCAUUUCUCGAGAGACGUAUAGGACACCAAUUUCCAUUUCAUACUGCCAAAUUAAUUGCAUGACUAAAGCGCUCGAUACAUAGAGCAAAAAUAUAAGGAGAAAGAAGGUCACCCUGUCGGAUUCCCCUAAACGGAGUGAAUUCUUCAGUGAUCUCCCCUUCCUAUAAAAUUUGCAUUCUAGCCGUAGUAAUGCACUCCAUUGUAAUUCGAAUAAACUCUUUAGGCAGUCCAACAUCCUUAAGAGUAUCAUGAAUGAAGUCCCAACUAAGCCGAUCAUAAGCUUUCUCAAGGUCCACUUUGAUAGCCAUCUGCCCGAUUUUUCCUUUUUUGUUUCUCAUGGUGUGGAUAAUUUCUUGCGCCAUCACAAUAUUCUCUAUAAUUUGCCUUCCGGGAACAAAGCUUGUCUGGGUUGGUCUGAUCAACUCCGGUAGAAUUCCUUUUAACCUAUUUGCCAAAAUUUUUGUAACAGUUUUAUACAUCACUAGACAUAGGCUAAUGGGACAGAACAUCCUCAAGUUGGUGGGGUUGUUUGUUUUUGGGAUAAGAACAAUAAGGGUCUUAUUAAGCUCUGGAGGGAGGGGAUUGCCUUUAAAAAUAUUGCUCACAAGUUCACAAAUUGAUGAGCCCACCACAUCCCAUUGCGACUGGUAGAAGAGACCAUGAAGGCCAUCAAUUCCAGGAGCUUUUAGAGGGUUCAUUCUGAAAAUUGUAGCUUUAAUUUCCUCGUUAAGAAUAGUUCUGCUAAGAUCAACUAAACUGUACUCAUCAAUUCUUGGAAAAGCAUUAGCAAUCGGGAAAUUAAAACUCACUUCAUCAUUAUAAGAAAAACGUUUAGAGAAAAAAUCAAUGGCAUGGGACUUGAUCUCUUCUUUGUUAUAAAUCUACGUACUCUUGCUGCUCUGGAUUGCAUCCACUCGGUUUCUCCUUUUUCUCGUUAUUGUUUUUCUGUGAAAAAAAGCAGUGUUUCUAUCCCCACAUGAAAUCCAUUCUCUCCUUGACUUUUGGUACCACAAUAACUCCUCCUUGGAUAGUAUAGUUUCAAGUUCCAUCUUCAAUUUGGACUCAAGCUCAAGAAGCCGGUUUGAAUCAAAUUUCUCCAGAGCAUGUUGAAUACCAUUUAAUCUUGCCAAUAAACACCUUUUCCUUUUAAAAAUGUUCCCAAAAUUCUCUUUAUUCCACACACUAACUUUAUCCACAAAGUCAUGAGCAGCCCGAAUAUAUCCCUUAGAGUUGCACUAUUCCUUAGCCACUAGAGAUUGGAAAGACUGGUCCGUCAACCGAGCUGCCAAGAAACGAAAAGGCCUAACAACAUUCAUUUUCUUCAAACUACGACCAAAUCUGACAAGAAUCGAACGGUGGUCAGAAUGAAUUUUUGGAAGAUGUAAAACUGAAGCUUCCAUAAAAGACACAUUCCACUGGUCAUUGCAUAUGGCUCGGUCUAAUCUUUUAAAGAGAGAUCCCCUUGACCAAGUGAAACAAGGCCCUUUAAAAUGUAUAUCCAUAAGCUGAUUAUCAUGAAACCAUUUGUUAAACAGUCUAUAAACACCAUUGCCUUUUUUUGAACCUCCUUUUUUCUCGGAAACAUGUAGGAUUGAGUUGAAGUCUCCACCUAGUAGCCAUGGUCUUGUAACUGAAUUAGCUACCAGGUCAAGAUUGCUCCAUAGCUCCCUCCUAAAAUUUGGGUUGGGGCUAGCAUAAACGGCAGUGACCCAUCAGAAAAAUCUGUGAUUUUAAAAUGAAUGUACUGCUUGUGAUUAAAAACAAACUCCAUCCUGAAUUCUUCUUUCCAUAAAAUCCAAAUACCCCUUGCAAAACCUUCAGCUUCCACUCGAUGCGAUAACUCAAAACCACUACGCUUAAUAAAGUUAUCAGCUUUAACUCCACUGAUUUUAGGUUCCAAAAUCGCAACAAUAUUAGAAUUGCGGAUCUUAAUCGUCUUGUUUUCAACCCACAAGAAAUUCUACUAAUUCAACUAAUUGGUACACCAAGUUACAUAAUCCAAAAAUAAGCCUCGUUGAAAAUUAACUAAUUAAACAUGAAUCCACGUCAUCUACUACCAAGCACACAUGCUAUGUUUGCUUUGCUUUUCAGUCAAUCACUCAGUGCAAUCCGUUUUGUGACUGGUUUUUCUUAAAAAAGUAUAUAAAAAUUUGCAAAAGUCUUAUUUUUCUUUUUUUUUUUAAAUUUGGUGACUGUCGAAUUUUAACUCAACAAUCAUACAAAAAAAAUUGGUUCUAGGACACUGUUCAGCGGCUCCUGAGUUGGUUUAAGGGCAGUCCUUUGUUGUAGGACACUGUUCAGCAGCUACCUUCUCCGUUUGAUACGCAAAAAGCUUUCUCACUCAUUUCGUUACUAACAAUUUAAGUUGACACCUCCUCCCUUUAAUUAAUAAAAAUGGAGCAUUUGAAUCGUCCCAUAAUUGAUGAUUAGCAAAAUUUUUCGGAGGAACAUAUCGGUAAUGCUACUACUUUGUCCGAGUAAAAUUGCCUGGACAAGCCAACAUUUCGGAGAGCAUUAUAACUUAAACAUAAACCCGUAGAUUAUCAAAAAAUUUGAUCAUUAAGUAAUUUAGUUUUAACAAUUAAAUCAUAGUAUCAUCAUGUCAUGUUACUUUGAGAUGAAAAUUUUUGUAUGAUUUUUUAUGGGAACUUUUUUUUUUUAAAGUUAAUUGAGGAAUAACCCCAACCAUAUAUAUGCUCUCAGGAGUGGUUGAUCGAGUGGUUUUUAAUAACACAACUACACCUGGUUAACAUUUGUUUAUCUUUAUCUCAUGUGGCAUCCUUCCUGGUGCACUUCACGCUACAUGUUACAUGUGCUGUACAUAGUCUCCACUUAAUGGAUUAUAGACUAUUGGGGCACUUUAUCUUGUAAGUGUUGAUAAUUGUGAUCUCUUUAGAAGUUUAUGACUUUAUCUGAUAAACACAAUCAUACGAUAAGAGCAAUCUUUACAGUUUGUAUCUAUAUUAAAAGACUCAGCUGUAUAAUGAUUAUUUAGCGAAUACAAGUUUCUUUCAUGGUAUUAGAGCUUAACCUCUACGGAGAUUUAGAAUCCUCACAAUGGCCAGCCAACAUUCCACAGCAACUUCAACCACACAAUUAGCAACUCAAAUCUCGGAGUGCAUCUCUAGCUAUCAACGCUGCUGCUCAACUUCCAAUUCGAUUGACACCCAACAACUGCUUUAAUUGGAGAGCUCGGUUUCUCUAGCUAGCUUUUGGCCAUGAUUUGAUAAAAUACAUGGAACACUUCCACAUCCUGAUCAAAUCUCAUCUUCAAGCUGCAGCACUGCCUCCAACACAAACCUAGAGUACUCCCUUAAAAAAACACAUUUAAUGCAAUUCUUACAUCCUCAACCGAAAAGAUAGCAUCCUUAGUUGCUAGUUGUUCAACAUCCAAGCAGGCUUGGGAAAAACUAGAAUGACUAUACUCUAGCAAAAGCAAAAGUAGAGUGUUCACACUCAAAGAAUGCUUGACUGGCCCUCAUGGAGAAAAUCAAACAAUUGCGGAUUAUUUGAAUAAUCUACUAUCCAUAGCUGAUGAGUUAACUCUAUUUGAUUCCCCCAUUAUAGAUGAUGAUAUUUCUGUUCAGAUGGUAAACAAUAUCGGGAAAGAGUUAAAAGAAAUCAUAGGUGGUGCCCGAACUCGAGAAACGUCUGUCACUUUUGAUGAAUUGUAUGACAAGCUUGUUGACUUUCAAGAGUAUCUAAAAAGAGAUGUAACACUUGCACAAACUCCUGCAGUCAACAUAAAAUUAAACCAAAAAUCGUUAUCCUAAUCGCAACACUUACCAAAAGCGUGUCUAACCUGCAUCACCCUUACUCACUCCACACACUUCCAAUCGACAUCAUACAAAUUCUAAUAACCAACCUACCCGAAAUUCCUUCUCUUGAACCCCAUGCCAUAUCUGAAGCUCUAAAAGAUCCUCUUUGGCUUGAGGCCAUGUAAAAGGCAUGGAAAAUGAUGUUUGCCCUGGGUCAAACCCCGGGGCAAACCCCGAAUAUAAACAAAACAAAAUCGUUUUGUUUGUUUGUUUGUUUUUCUUUUUCUUUUUUGCUUCUCCAAAACGCAAACGAAAAUUAUGUGGUUGUCUUUCAGCAACAAUCUCUUCAGGGAUCAUAUACGAGCACACGCGACACCAAUAGUUCCCAUCCACCUCGUUCCACAUACUGCAAUCCAUCAGCAAAAUAAAAAUCUACAAUCAAACCAAAUCAUAACAACCACAGCAAUGAAAUUCUAAAAACCUUUGAAUGUUAGCAGCCCACAAAUCACUCGAAAGGAGCUUCUCCCUCAUUGUGCUCACCCUCUUCUUCCCCUCCGGAGGCUUAAGUAACUCAAUCUUCUUCCCCAAUUUCCUCGCCUCGCAAAAUUCACAAACCCAUUCACCUUCAGGAACCUCCUUCAACGGCGGCUUCAAGCACUUCAAAUGAAACCCACCUAAGUAAUCAUCACACUCAAGCAUAACAUUCCUCCCUGCUCUAAAACAAAUCCUACACUCCUUCACCUCAGGAUCCUCUUCAUCCGAGCAUGCAUCCUCUCUCCUCUUCACAUACACAUCAUCUCCCACCUCAAAUUCACCCUCAUCAUACACCACUUUCUUAUAAUAAACCCUCAUCUUCUUUAAAUUCUCAACUUUGCCACUCUGCGUUUUCACCUUAGACCUUAUCACCACAGCAUCACCACUCCUCUCUUCGCUAUAGUCCUUUCUUUUUCUCUUCUUCCCCUCCGAUAAUUUAGGUGACAUCGGAGAAACCACCAACUCCUCCGAAUGCAACCCAUCUUUAGGCUUCAUUUUCGGGGUCUUAUUGCUCAAAACGUGAGAACGCAAAUGAGACAAAUCAAGAAUAUGAGAACUGAAAAAAUAAAUUCAAUGUUACAAUGUUACAAUGUUACAAUGUUGUAAAAAUACAGGGAAAAAUUAAAAAAAAUCAAAAAACAAAAUGUUGCAAAGAAGACAGUAUCGAAAAAAAAUUCAAGCUUCGAAAAUUCAAGCUUUCAGGCACAAUGUUAAUCUUGCUCUGCCGAAACUUCGCAACUGCUGUUGGUCUUGUUCCGUCGAAACUCAGCUUAGUAGCCGAAACUCAACUUUCAAUGACAAGUUUCGCAGCCGAAACUUAGCUGCUGUUGGUCUUGUUCUUCAAUAAAUGGGUGCGUUCUUUGUUAAUCACUUUCUUCAGUUCAACUUAAGACGAAGAGGAUGAAGCAUUCUGCUGUGGAUCCUGUUCUGCUGUGGAUCUCGGUCGAGGAUGGAAGAAACAAAAAAUAAACGAAGAAACGAAAAAGAAAACAACGCAAAAAAGAAAGCGGAGAAGCAAAAAAUUAAAAAAAAAAAAACAAAACAAAACGACACCGUUUUGUUUAUAUUCGAGGUUUGACCCGAGGCAAACAUCAGCACUCAAAAGGCAUACCAAGCACUUAUAACCAAUGACACGUGGGAAUUGGUUCCGCCGUCACGUUCGCUGUAAAUGGGUAUUCCAUGUCAAACGACACCUAAAUGGAACAACUGAUCAAUUUAAAGCUUGCUUGGUAGCGAAAGGAUUUCAUAAAUGGGCUGGCAUAGAUUUUCAUAUCACUUAGCCCUAUCAUGAAACACACCACCAUUUUGGUCAUUCUUUUCUUAACAUUACACAAUGGUUGGUCCUUGCAACAACUCGAAAUAAACAAUACCUUCUUAAGUGGCACUCUUGAUGAGGAAGUCAUUAAGAAAAAGCCUCCUGGUUUUGUUGAUACUCACCGUCGAAAUUUUGUGUGCAGGUUAAAGAAGUCAAUAUAUGUGGAUGACAGAAUUCAACAAAGCUGUUCAAAUGCUUCACUUUUCAUCUUCCAUCAUAAUGGGGUUUGUCUUAUAUUCCUAACCUAUGUGGACGACACAAUUCUCACUGGUAACAACAAUCUCGCCCUUGCCAAGUUCAUCCAUGCGCUUGGUAACACUUUUGCACUGAAAGAUCUCGGUAAUUUGCACUACUUUUUGGGAGUUGAGUUCAUCCAGACCUGUGAUGGGCUUUUUCUCUCACAAUAUUAUAUUUGAAUUUUGUUGCAAUGAUUUGACAUCUCUAAUGCUAAGCCUGUCUCAACAGCGCUGUCCUUUUCAACACCCUUAAAGAUCAAUGAUGGCUUGAACUUCGUGGAUGCUACAUUGUUUAGACAACUUAUUGGUGCUCUUCAAUAUGUUACUCUCACAUGUCCAUACAUAUGCUUUGUCGUAAACAAGCUCAACUCAGUUUCUUCGUCAACCAACAAAGCUCAAUUCGCAAGCGGAUAAGUGACUCAUAUGCUAUCCCAAGGAUACAAUUUUCUUUGGCCUCUUUUUUUGCUCACACUCCAAUACUUUGCUCACUGCCUACACUGACUCUGAUUGGGAUGACAACUUAGAUGAUCGCAGCUCAACCAGUGGCUAUGUCAUAUUCUUUUGUGGAAUCCAGUCUCACGAUCCUCCAAGACACAACGCUCCAUUGCAAGAUCAUCUACUGAAGCUAAAUUUCGGUCAAUUGCAAGCACUUUCUCUGAAAUUUGUUGGUUAUACAAUUUGUUGUUUGAACUUGCUGUCAAAAUUCCUAAACCUGUUCUCUACUGUGACAAUCUUGGAGCUACUUUUGUUUGCACCAAUCUUGUGUAUCAUUAAAAAAUAAAGCAUGUCGAAAUUGAUUUUUAUUUCAUCCGUGACAAGGUUGCAAAAAGGUUGUUGAGCAUUGUUCAUAUACCAUCCGAAAGCAGCUCGCUAACACACUCAUCAAAGCUCUUCCCCAUACUCCAUUUAUUGCUUCACGAUUCAAGUUAGGUGUUCACGACGGAAAGCCUAUCUUGUGGAGGCAUAAUAACACAACUACACCCGGUUAACAUUUUGUUUAUCUUAUGUGACAUCCUUCCUCAUGCACUUCACAAUACAUGUCACAUGCGAUGUACAAAGACUCCACUUAACAGACUAUAGACUACUUGGGAACAUUAUCUGAUAAGUGUUGAUAAUUGUAAUCUCUUUAGAAGUUUAUUACUUUAUUUAAUAAACACAAUCAGAGAAUAAGAGCAAUCUAUACAAUUUGUAUCUAUAUUAAAAGAUUCAGUUGUAUAACACUUAUUUAAUUAAUAUAAGUUUCUUUCAAGUUUUAAAUAAUUUUAUUUAAUUGGCCACUCAAAUUUGAGGCUUAGUGCGUGUAUCCAAGAUAAUACUUGAGAAGGUAGAAUGAUAGCUUUGUUGCCUCUUUAUGUUAACAGUAUGCCAGCUGAAAGGACUAAAGAGCCAAUUAGUGAAAAGAUUCCACAAGAUAAUAUACAGGGGGCCAAUGAGUUCACGCAAUUAUUAUGACACCAUUCAACCAAGUUAUGAGUGGUCAUUUUCUCCACUCGUUAACUUGUUUUUGCUACUUCUUAGAGAUUUCGUUUUUUUUCUAGUAUAUAUACUUUGUAGCACUUAUGAGAGUUCAUUAUUACAAAACAAUCUUUUUUCUCCCAUGGAAAUAAUUCAUUGUCUUAGUACGGUAAGAGUUCUCUUGGUUCCAGUGGUGGAUUUAGAAAAAUAAUUUACCAGGAACUAAAUUAAAUAACAACAAAAUGUAAAAACUGAAAUUUGAAUAUACAAAAUUUUUUAUAACACAUUUAUAAUUGUUCUCUACGUGAUUUCAUAUUCUGAAAACGUUGUGUAAUAGACUCAUUAUCAACACUAUUAUAUUACACACAUCUUUUUUUUACAUAAACAAUCAAAUUAUUAUUUAUCCAUUCAUCUCCCAUUUGAUUCCAAAGUUAAUUCUUUGCAAAUUUUAUUGCUAAAAAUGUUCUCCAUAUUCUGGUUGUAGAAACUAAAAGAAUGGGGCUAUUUGAUAAUUUGACAAGAAUUAUUUAAAAUUUAUUAAUUUUUCUUUUAAAUAAAAAGGGGUAAUAUUUUUUUUUCAGUGGGGGCUUGGGCCCCCACUGGUCCCACACUACAUCCGCCUCUGCUUGGUUCAUUGUUUGAUUCUCCCCUUUGUAAUGUCAACAGCCAACACUAGCAUUAUCACAUAUCAAGGUGCUCUUCUUUCCCUGAAAGCUUAUAUCACUCAUAACCCUAACAAUUUCUUAUCAAGAAAUUGGAACACUCCAUACCUAUUUUUUUGACCGGAUGGGGGUCAUAUUGGAAAGUAGAAUCCAUUUAUUCAUUAUAUUGAGCUAUAAGUAUAUCUUUUUAUAUGUAUUCUUAAAUUACAGUAGACUUUGAUUGCAUAGCUUAAUUAUAGGGAUCCUAGCAUAACUAUAGGAACUGAUGGUCGUGUAUAGUAAGUCAGUCAUAUGUGUAUAUAUACUCAAUCUAAUGUCAAUGAAAAUUAUUCUGCCCAUUCUACUUUUCUCUCAUACUUAGAUGGUAUCAGAGUAAGGAUUCACUGCACUUUAAUCUCUCGUAUAGCAUCUCUCUUUCAGCCAUCAUGGCCCUUGAGGAUAUUCCAAAAACCAGCAAUUCUGAUCCACAAAAAUCAGAGAUUUCUGCAGAUUCCUCCAAGGAAAAUCUCUCCAAUCCCUUCUUCACUCACUGUUCGGAUAACCCCGGAUUGAUUCUCAUCUCCAAACCUCUAAAUGGAGAUAAUUACUUUGGUUGGAAAAGGGCUAUGGUUUGAGCUUUAAACUCCAAGAACAAGCUCGGAUUUGUCAAUGGUUCUAUCACAGUUCCUUCAGAAGAAGGUGAUCCUAAAGGCUAUGCGACUUGGUCAAGAUGCAACGAUAUGGUUCAUUUCUGGAUCGCCAAUUCUUACGAUCCAGAAAUAGCUGACAGUAUGACUUGUUAUCCUAUUGCUCAUGAGGUUUGGGAAGAUUUCUAUUAGCGUUUCUCUCAAGGCAAUGCAUCUCGCAUAUUCGAGAUACAACAAGAUAUUGCUUCUCUUUGACAAGAGCAACUCUCUGUCUCUGCUUACUGCACUAAGUUGAAAAGUUUAUGGGAUGAAUUGGCAACACAUUCAGACAUAGCACAAGCCGAUCGAUAUAAAUUGAUGCAGUUUCUAAUGGAGCUUGUUGUGAAUUGAUAUGGCUUCGUUACUUACUUAGAGAUUUGGGGAUUUUACAUCAAGAGGCUGCAUUGCUAUAAUAUGACAAUAAGGUUGCAUUACAUAUAGCAGCUAAUCCAGUUUUUCAUGAACACACAAGGCACAUAGAGAUGGAUUGUCAUUGUAUAAGAGACAAGAUACAAGAAGGUUGUGUGAUAACAAGAUUUGUGAGUUCCGCAAAUCGGCUUGCUGAUAUGCUAACCAAAGCUUUGGGAAAAGAUGUUUUCAUGCCUAUGGUUCGCAAGUUUGGAGUGCUAGACAUUCACUCUCCAACUUGAGGGGUCAUAUUGGAAAGUAGAAUCCAUUUAUUUAUUAUAUUGAGCUGUAAAUAUAUUUUUCUGUAUGUAUUCCUAAAUUACAAUAGACUUUGAUUGCAUAGCUUAAUUAUAGGUAUCCUAGCAUAACUAUAGGAACUGGUGGUCGUUUAUAACAAGUCAGUCAUAUGUGUAUAUAUACUCAAUCAAAUGUCAAUGAAAAUUAUUCUGCCCAUUCUACUUUUCUCUCAUACUUACAAAAUUAGGUGAUAAUUAAGAAACAUGAAACUAUAAAAAUAUAAGUUCUUCUAUUUAUUCCAUUCUUUCUUCUUCUUCUUCUUAGUUGUAUGCAUGAAACUAUUGAUUAUUAUUUAAUUGAUAAUGAAACCGUCAUAUAUCAUUUCUAAAACAUAAAACCUUAUAUAGUCAAUAGUAUUCAAUAAAAAUCUAUCAAUAAAUGAUAAUAUAAUAUAAUUAUAGUGUCAUGUAUUUUAUGUGAAUAUUUUAAAAUUGUAUAGCAUUUAAAGAAAAAAAAAGGAUAAAAGUUUUGGAUAGGGAUAAAAAACCUCACCAACGAAACUUUAGUCUUUGCUUUCAAUUAUUAUUUGAACUACGCAAAAUACCAUCAUGGUCAGUUAAGCUGCAUUCAAGGUCUGUAUUAUAAGUUGAAUGUGACCUAGUUGAAACAAUUUUCGAGCUACUUUCUUUGGUAAUAACCAACUCCCCUUCUAGAAUCACCAACGCAUCUUCUUUACAAGGUCUUGAUUUCAAUGACAAAAUGCUAUCUAGUGAACUCCCCAAAAAUAUUGGCAGUAAUCUUCCUUUUUUGGAAUUUCUUUAUUUGUCCAAAAACAGGUUUCAUUGCAAAUACCAUCUACUUUAUCAACGUGCAUGUCUGCUAACUUUAAUAUUAUCAUCCAAUUAUUUCUUGGGAGACAUAUCAAAACAUAUAUACAACUUGAUUAGCAAAGCUUUAGGGAGUUAAAUCUUCGAUAUAACAAAUAUCGGAGUUUAAAUUGAUGAAAUUUAAUUAAUGAUGUUUCACUCAUAUUCAGCUACCUAAUUCUUAAACAAUAAUUGUUAUUAUACUCUUCGAGCAAUAAAUUCCUUUCAUGUUAUAAGAUGGAAAUUAAAUCCCUAAUUAUAUUGAAAAUUUUAUCAAUCUAGUCAUUUUUAUAAAUUUAUUAUCAAAAUUAGCCAUAUAAUAGAAUUUCUUAACAUAAUAGCCACAUGCACGUAAUUGGGACCAAAUUAUCCUUAAAACAAUCAAAUCAAAUUCCUCAUAUCCGACCUAUGUAUUUACAGGUCGACCAAUUGUAUAAUCAAUAUAGGGAUGGUUACAAUUGAGAAUUUAUAGAGUGCUCAAUAUUGAGCAUAGCUUCUAUUAAGGGAUUAAAUAUGUAUGUGCCGAUGUAGUGAAUAAUGAAAUCUAAGAUACAUAUUGAACAAGUUAUCUAAACCUCUUGUAGUAAUUGCAAUUGAGAUUGUAGCUAUCUAAAGCUCUAGUUUAUGUCGCCCAUGGGUCACACGUUGCAUUUGCUCAUAUGAUACUACCCAAAGACCCUAUUCUCGCAACUCUAUUUACCUUGUGAUCCCAUUACAUGCGAGUAGAUGUUAGAUUUAGGCGCCCAUGAUGGGCUGACUAUAUGUAAAGUAAGAGAUGGCUUAACAUUGUAGAACUUAUUGAGAAUUCAUAAGAUGUAACUUAUUGUUUUAUUUACAUCCUGAUGGCAUGAGAUCUAGCUUAUUCAAAUGACUUUGUUAAGUUUAUUUCAAUUAGAACACACUAAUUGUAAUAUAAAGACAUUACAUGGGUGAGUGAAAAUAUGUAAAAUAAAAAUCCGAAUUAUGCAAAAGAGAGUGUAGGAGAGAAAAUCAGAUAGUGUAUAUUCUUACUUUGUGAAUUGAGAGGUGUUGAAAAGUCAAGCAUGCAAAUUGAAUAAUUGUAUGUGACAGUUAGCAUGCAUUGCAUGACAAAGUUGGCACGAAUUGCCAAAUUUGUCAAUUUGGCAAUUAAAGUCAAAUUGAAGCGUGUGGUAGGUGAGCAAUGCUUCCUAUAGAUAAAAGGGUCAUUGUUCAUUUGUUUUCAUUCCAAUUUUGAGAGCAAGCAAGUGAAACAAUUUGAGAAUUUUGAGAGAGAUUCUACUUCAGUGGUGGGAGGAUUUAAUUGGGUGUAUUGGAGUUGUGGGUUUUGAGAGUUUUUCCCACUUUUGUAGAUUCUCAUUUUAUUAGUAAAAUUAUCUUCCAAUCUUUGUCCGUAAAAGUAGGCAUCAUGCUAAACCACAGAAAUUAUUUUAUCCUAUUUUCUUUACAUUUGUUUGUCACAUUAUAUUUCUCCAAAAGUCACAUGAAUCACCAGAAUAUUAGUAAUUGCUCAACCCGCGCUUCCGCAACAAGAUGAUCUUUCAACUUUGUGAUUAUCCUUCGAUGACCUCAUGACAAUAUGUUCGUGAAGGUUCCUAACAAUCCAUUCUUAAAUCUUUAAGAAUGGAAGGGAUCUGUUCUUGCAGUUGGAGGACACAUUGUGAUUUGUUCUUGCAGAUUCAUUGCGACCCGAUUGCUGAAUUGUGACUAUUUAUAUCCGCAUCAACCAACAUAUGUAUGGUUUUAGUUCAAAAAAUAAAUUUACAUGAUUGAUUUUAAAAAUCAAAAUAUACUAAAUCGAGUUGUAAUAAUCACAUUCAUAAUUGCCUGGAGUCUUGUCUUCACUCUCAAAUUUGUAUUGAUAGUCACGUUUUACAUAUAUGGUAGUGACAGUUAUAAUUUCACUUGUAGUGAAAGCAAAAAUCGAAGUGCAGUGAAACUGAGAGUUUUAAUACACAACGUUGCACGAAUAGUAUUGCUUUAACAAUAAGCGAAAGUUCCAGUGAAAGCAGAAGUUCAUCAAAUCUACCAAGAGGAAGUUUCCUCGCCCAUGUGAAAGAUAAACGCCUAAAAAUGUAAGGAGAAGUUUCAAUAUUGAGCAAAUCGCCUACGUAAGGUAAUCCGUACCCCAAGGUAUGGAGUAAUCUGUCUGGGUAAGCAAGAAGCCAAUAAGUGAAAGGUCAGGGACACUUGUGCAAGCAUCAAUUAACAUGAACAUAAAUCGCCAUAUAAUGGCAAGUGUCUCAAAAGUAAUUUAAACAUCAUUCAAAUCAACAAAAGUCAUUAUAAACUCUAUCCUUUUGGUAAAAAUUUUUAAUGAAAAAUAACUCAAAUAAAUGUUAUUUAAUUUAUACUUCUCACUCUCCAUUUUUUCUCUCCAAAAAUUUUGGUUGCUGACUUGACCGUCAAUGGUUCUCACUGGUAGCACACACCUCUGACUUUUCAUUUGCAUAUUGUAGAAUAUUCAUCGGUAAAAGUGGACCUUCCGAAAGCUUGAGGAUGAGGAGCCCAACAUAGAUGCUAAGGAAGAGAAACUCGUCCUACUCCUACCAAGAACACUUAACAAAGAUGAAUUAGUAAAUUGUAAAAAAAAAAAUGAUAUUAUUUUAAAUUUAAUUGUAUAAGUGAAUUUUGGCAAAUUAAUUCUAGGCCGAGCGGAGAAAGAUCAAAUUAUAAACUAAGAAAAGGAGUUCGUCUUAGUCCGAAAGGAAUAUCAAUAUACACAAGAUUUUAUACUUGACCAUUAGGACGAAAUUCUGAACCGCCGGUAGCCACUCAAUGUGGCCUACUUCUCCUGAUAAUAAUAAUAAUAAUAAUAAUAAUAAUAAUAAUAAUAAUGAGCAGUGCUAGAGCUAGACAUGAUAAAAUUUUAUUUUAAUAUUUAUUAACAUUCAUAAAAUAAAUAGUGAGCGAAUGUAAUUAUUUCCACUUAAAACUUGUAAAUUUUUUUAAUUGUUUGAUGAAUUACACAUUACACAUUACAUAGAAUCCAUUAAAAUAAAAUUAAUUACAUUAAUUUUAUUUAAUUGUUUGAUAAAAUUUUAAGAUAUCAAUUAUUACUCGAUAACAAUUAGUUUAGCUUUUGAGCAAAUCAUAUCUUUACAACAAAUUAUCCUUUUCAUAUAAUUUGUCAAGUCUAUUUACUUCUCAGUUCAACCCUAGCCAGUUGUUGUUGCACUUGUACGUUCAUUAAAAAAAUGUGGUGGCACAUCUUCAUAAGCAAUGCUUAUCCUGUUACCUCUUAGACCCAGAUUGUUUGCAGAAACACGAGUAAAAUUAAUUUGUUCAUUAUUCAAGUCAAACACGCACACGCUAGCAAAAAAUUCAGGGAUAUGGGCCACCAUCAAUAUGGAUAUAGAUAGAUAAAUAUAAUAGGUAACGGUAAUUAAAAGAUGUCGGUUGCUACAUUACCGCACAAAAAUAAUCAUUUAUGCUAAGACAAAUAGGGCCACAUCACGUGUACGUAUAUGUCCCCAUUCAGAUCAUAUUGUUAUUUAUAAAUUAUUAUUAAUUUAUUAUUAGCAUUUGCCUGAUCCUAAUACUAUGCCUUCAACUUUGGGAUAAUCACAAACAUAAAUGUUGUGUCCCCCUUGGUGGGUGUAUUGUUUCAAUCAGCACACAAAGACAAAUAGACAAUAUUCAUCACUUCUCAGUACGUAAUUCAAAUUUCACAAACACUAAAUUAUAAUUAAGCUCAUCGAUUUGUUGCAAUUGUUGUGGCCGAUCCAAAUGACAAACAAUAAAUGCCCAAAGUCAUCUGAUAGCCAUAUUCAGCUACUAUAAUAUACGAGUGCCGGAAAAUGUAAUCACUUACACUGCAUCACGUGUUUUUUUUUCUUUUAAAUUGUUAAUGCAGAUAAUGGGUAUAUUUUACCUUGAUCCUAAAUUAAAGGUCAAUAUAAACACAGUUCAUAUUGCUUCCCGAUUGUAAAUUAAUAUCAAUGUGAGCUGUAGUUGACCUCAGAUUUAAGGACAACAUCCAUCGGAUGAUUCAUAUGAAAGGUCAAGAAAAAAAUAAACAACAAUCAAACUAGAGAUGUUAAUAAGUAAAAGAACGUGGUUAGUAAUAAAACCACGUGUUGAAAACUCGAGUUUUUCCACCAUUUCCCCCUCUCUCAGCCAAUAAAUUAGGGCAAAAAACCUUUUGGUCAAUUUUUAGUGCAAAGUCAAAAGAAAUCAAGUUGUAAAACAAUUCUCAAUCUCCAUACACUAACUUGAGCAUUGAGGUGUCUUUUACAAUCAUGUAUUUAAGCUCAAUCAACAAAAUCCCACGAGGAUUGCAAGUUAUUCCAGAAUCUUCAAAGAAAUCAGGUAUAAUUAAUUCCUUAUUCACUUUACAUUAAUUUAUGAUACAUCCGAUCGGUGAAGGUUUACGCAUCUUCAACCACCAAAAAAAAAAAAAAAAUAUCAUCCAACUUGUAUAGUUGAUUAGAUCAAAAUAAUGUUAAAUGAUAGAGCAUAAAAUCAUAGGCAGAUUCAAAAAAUAAUUUAUUAUCUUAUUUGUAUCAACAUAAAAUCAGUGGUGGAUUUAAAAAAAUAAUUAAUGAGGACUAAAUUAAAUAAUAAAAAGAUAUAAAAAUGUUUGCAAAUAAAAUUUUCUACAUUUUUUUAACAUCAACUCGUAGCAGUAUCUUAUGUUGUAAAUUGACAUUUUAUGCUAAUAAUAAUAAACUUUAUAUUACAUAGAUAUGAAGUUUAUUACAAAAUGAAAAAUGCAUUUAUAAGAAAACUUAUCGGGAGUAAGGUUUACUCUAUGAGGGACCGACAAAAGGGAUAGCAACGCAUAAAGCCUUUGAAUACUUUCAACAAAACUUUAUUUCUUUUCGUCAAAAGAAAUUCCACCGGCUCAUGAGAAGAUUAAAGAUUCUAAAUCAUAUGAUUUUAUUCCUUUGUAAUAUUCUAAUUACUUAAUUAUUAAUUAACCAUAAUAAAACCCACAAUUCAAGCAAUUUUAAUCUAAGCAACACACGUGGAAGGUCGGUUGACGAUUGGAAGAAAGUUACAUCACAUGCAUAGGAUGUCCCGUGUUUACGUGUACUGGUGGAUCCAUCUCAUUGGUUCUUAAAUUUGAAGCCUCUAUCUUCGCCGAUGUCCCUCGUCUGUGGCAACCUAGGCGCCGUCAGAUUCUGACGCCCUUUUUCUGAUUUUCAACUUUCACAUCACGCGUCCUUGAAGACGCCACAUACACGGGCAUUUGUCCAUUUGUUAUCGAAUCCUCGUGUUUGUAUGAUUUUCAAUUAUCGUAAACAAUUUUUCUAGUUCUUUUUAAAUUUAAGGUUCUCUCUAUUUUAUUUAAAAAUAUAUAUACGUAUGUGAUUGUAAAUUAAUAAAUAAAAAUAUAAUAAUUAUGUAAAUUUUUAUUAAUAUAUAUGUGUUAAAAGAUUUUCUUUCUCAGAUAUGACUAGAUAAUAAGUGAAUCUUUAUUCUUACAAAAUAAGAUACAAAAUUUGUAAACUAAUUGAUAUUUUUUAUGAAGUGACAUUAUUUUAUUGAAAUCAUUUUAUUAUUAAUUUUUAAGUAUUAUUAACUUUUCAUAUUGAUAUUAGAUCAAUUGAGACAUGAUAAGUGCAUCAAUAACUUUUGAGAAUAAUAUUUCUUAACACUUCUCAUUAAAAAUAAUUAAAUAUGACAAAUAAAAAUAGAUCAUAAUUAAAUAAAUUUAAAAGAAAUAUGAGAACUAACACAACUUAAAAUUAAAGGACUAAAUGAGGAUUCUCUUUUACAUAUUAUUAUAAAAGAAAGCAAAUCAGAUCUUCAAACCAAUAUAUUAAUUACAAAAUUUUAACUGGCAAGACCAAAAAGAUGAAUCUAAAGUGUGAAUGCGCGUGGCUUAAAAGAAGAAAAGUUAUGGAUAAUCGUUAAAAUAUUUUUUAAAAAAUCAACAUUUAAUUAUUUAUAUCUAAUGUGGGCACAGCCCCAGCCCCCAGCACAUGGGAAAGUUGCCUUUAGCAUCACUAGUGCCAUUGGGUGAGCUGUCCUUGUGAUUUCAUAAAACAAAAGUGAGAUUUCACACUUCAAUAGAGCUUUGGUCUAUCAAAUAUCUAGCCAAUGAAAGGAUAUAGUAAAUGGAUUUUUUUUUAAAAUUUUUCUUUUUCAAUUAGUGACAUAGAUAGUCAGAUAUUUCCUGUACCUAGUCUAAAUUGAUUAUAACGUAGUUCAAAUAUUUGGACUAAAAAUAAUUAUUUUUUGUCUUCAAAUUUCAAUGAAAUGUAAAUUCUAAAUCUCAUGAAAAACGAUGGAUUUAAAUAUUUAGCUAUAUAUAUAUAUAGUCAAAUUACGGCUUCGAAACUAAAUAUUUUACUCAAAAUUUGAAACUAUGACACUUAUAACUUCAAAAAUUAUUAUUGAUAUUGUUUAAUGAAAUAUUUAUCACGAUUUUUUCGGGAUUAAAUUUAAUGUGACACAACUCAAAUGUUUCAAUCUAAAGACCAAAUUUACUCUCAAAUAAGGGGGGAAAAAAAAAACCAAAAACCUGUAAUUGAUCCACCAUCUUAAAAGUAUAAAUCACUAAUUAAGCAAUUAAAGUAAAAAAAAAAAAUCGAGAAAAUUCCAAAGAGUUGUAGCAUACAUGAUUAAGGAAACUAAUUGAACCGCGUAUGAUUCGUGAAAACGAAACACAAAAUUAAAAAGGUACGUGUUUAGUGUGUCUGAUAAUCAAAACAAGACACGUGUACGAAUCCUUUCGGAUUCUCUUCGCAACUCUUCUCUAUAUAAGUCCCCAUCGUCCCUCUCUGCAGUUACAUAACACAAAGGCAGUUACUCAAAUUGAAAAAACACACAUUCCUUUAAAAUCUUCAAUCAAAGUUUCUUGCUUUUGACUCUUUAAAUUUCACUUGAUUUUUUUUUUUUUUUUUGUAAGAAUCAAUCAAAGAUGGCAGAUGAAGGCACAGCAACAUGCAUUGAUAUUAUCUUGGCUAUCAUUUUGCCUCCUCUCGGUGUCUUUCUCAAAUUUGGCUGCAAGGUAACGUAACUAGUUCUUCUCUUUUGGGGGUGUUUUUAAAAUUUUAUUUUAUUAAAAACAUUCUGAAGAUAUAUAAGAAUUCGCUAAAAAAAUUUGUCUGUUUGUAAUCGUUAAUGCAAUGGUUUGUGCAGGUUGAGUUUUGGAUCUGUUUGCUGUUGACAAUUUUCGGGUAUAUCCCUGGAAUUAUUUAUGCUGUUUAUGCCAUCACCAAGAAUUGAUCUCUCUCUUCUUAUUCUGUAAGUGCCCUACACUCUUUUCUUCUCUUCAAGCUUUUGGAAAUAUUUUUGUAAAUUUUGUUUUUCAUAACUAUUAAAAAUUGUUACAUUUUUUUUUCAGAUGUUCUGGUGAUAUAUAUAUUUUCUGAAUUCGGGUCUAAAUCAGUCUAGUCAUUAUUCAUGAGUUUGAUUUUUUGGCAAUCGAAUGGAGUUAUAGAAUGAAUCUUUUUUUUUUUCAAUAUUCUAUAAUAUUAUGUUAUAAAUCUAUUGAUAUUUAUUAUCCGAAACAGAAAGAAGAUUUCGAUUUAAAGUUUCUCUUUUUGAGACCCCUCUUAAGACACCAUGACCCGCAUUAAUUUGUGCCAUUUAUUGGUCUUAAUUAUUUUUACUUUAAAUUGUUGUCUCCGUUGUGAUUUGUUCAACGGCUAUGAUACAACAAGGAACUGGAUUAGACCUGGGAAUCAAUGUCUUUUAAACUCUCUAAUUUUUCUUUUUGAAUUGUUUUGACAGAUGGAGAGAUCUGAGGGGCAGUAUGUGUUUAUGAGAUUUUUAUUUACAACCAUUUGAUGGACAGUUCUGAUUUGAUGUAGCCAGAUGGAUUAUGAUUCUUCUUUUAAGUGUUGUGUGUGCGCGUGUGUGAGAGAGUGAGUGAGUGAAGUGUUCCUUUGUUGAUCUUUAAUUUUUUCCGCCCUUUUUGUAUGAUUUGUCCCUUUUAUGAACUUUAGUUCAUUAUUUUAAUGUAAAUUCCGCGACAGAAAAUUUUUCUUGGGCUAAAAAUUUUAUAUAUCUAUAUAUCUGUCACUAAUUCAUAUUAAUUGUUUCAUUCUUUCCCAAUUAUGUAUGUCUGUCACGUCCCCAUUCAGAUAUGAAUGCAUAUGAUUUUUAAUUAUUUACUCAUUUGCCUAAUACAAUGCCUUCGACUCUGGCAUAAUCACAACUCACAAGCAUAUAUUGUGUUCCCUUUGGUGGAUGUAUUGUUUCUAUCAGCAAUCAAAGACAAAUAGACAAUUAAUAAUUAUAUACGCAUAUAGUAAAUGGGAUCUCUAUCAUCACUCGUCGAUACAUAAUUCAAAUUUCAUUAAAUAAUAAGUUAUAAUUAAGCUCAUCGAUUUGUUGCGAUUGUUGUGGCCGACCCCCAUGACCCACGACCCACAUGACCCACGUUACUAUGUCCAAUAUCAUGCUAACCAUAAUCAGCCACCAAAAGGGAGGAAAAAAAAUGAAAAAGAAAAAAAAAAACAUUUAGCUUAUAGUUGAUUAGAUCAGGCAGAUCGAACAAAAGUUUUCGAAUCAAACUCAUCGUAAUUGAAUUUACUUACGGCUUUUAUGAAAUAGUGUAAAAUUAAUAUGGCAAUUCAGAAAAAUGAUUUAUUUGAGGUUAAAUUAAAGGUAUAAAAUCUAAAAUUGAACACGCAAGUUAGUACAUUUAUAUUUUAUAAUUGUUCUGGAUUUGUUUUAUAUUUUGAAAAUAUUGCAUUAUAGUUAUUAUCAUUAUAUUAAGUAUAGGGGGAUUGUUAUUUUUUCCCUAUCGAAUUCAUUAUCUAUCACUUAUCUUGCUAUUGUUUUCAUAAUGUCCAAUAACUCUUUUUAUACAAAAUAAUAAUAAUAAUAAUAACAAAGAAAGAAAAAGAGAGGUAAAUAUAUAGAUCAUGUACUUGGUGUUUUCUCUUGAGACAUAGAAAAUAUACAUUUAUUGUGGGGGAAAAAAUAUAAGAAAAUGUAGGUGUUGCAACUAUGUCAAAGGCAAAUAUGCUUUUAAGGUUGAAAUAAUUUUUAAAUUUCUUUAUUCAAUAUCAUUUUAGAUUAAAAAUUAAAAAAAAGAUUAGAAUAAAUAAAAAAUAAGGGUAAGAAUUAGAUUAGAAUAAAUAAAAAAUAUGAUAAGAAUUUUUCUUAUUUUUAGUAUUCAACAUUUUAUUUUAAUAUUAAUAUUAAUUUGUUUAAUUUAUAAGAAAUAUAUAUGAACAAAGCUAUACUUAGAAAUAAGGAUAAUAUUGUAAAAUUUUGAUAUCAGGGAGUUGUUAAAUAUUAUGAAAAUAAUAAGAAGAUAAGUUGCGUAUAGAUAUUAAUUUUCGUAUACAUGAAACUGGCAAUCUCCCUAUCCAUAUAUGAUUUUAUACAUAAAACCAAACUAUUAUUCAUUUAUUUAUCUCCCAUCUCAUUCUAAAGUUACAUUCUUUACAAAUUUAAAAACACUUAUGCUAUGAAAUCACCCCACUCUGUGCAAGUAAAAAGAAAGAAGAAACCAUUGUGGUGUCGGCUGCUUGCUCUUUUGCUAAUUAAUAUUAUAGCAAUUCCUUUUUUUAUUUUAAAAAAGUGUAUUUGUAAGGAAUAUUACUUUUAACAAACUUCAUUUCUUUUCGUCAAAGAAAUUCCACCAGCUCAUGAGAAGAUUAAAAUAAGGGCUGGGCUACGUUGGAAUCGCUUCACAGGGGCACACUCUUUUAUAAUCAUACAAUCAAAAUUAUAAUGUAUUUUUUAUUUUUUAUCAUGUUGCGUGUGUAGCUAUAAUUCAUACUCUACCUCAGAGCAACUUUGACGUAACCAUAACCUUAAAAUAAAUCCUAUUAAACAUUCUUGUUGAUGCCAAAAUUUAGAUGAUAAGAUUACGAAAAUUUGGUUAAUAUUCACGAUUUAUAAUGUUCUGAGGAAUGCAUUAAGAGUCAUAUAAAAAUUGAAUACAACUCAAAUUAUAUACUGCAUUGAGAAUACAAGUAAUUUGUUUAGAGAAAUAUAUGAAGAGAGUAACAAAAAAGAUGGUUGGAGUCUUCAUUGGACGUUAAGUCUUCCUUGGAAUCAAGUGACACCACUUAUAAAACAAAGACGAUCAAAGUCAUCGGUGGGGUUCACUGGCAAAAAUCCUCUAAAAUUCAAGUCAAAAAACAGAGGACGUUUGAAAGAGAGAAAUUUAGCAAGGAACGAGAGAGAGAACUAUGAACCCUUAUACCUUUAACUUCUCUUCUAUUUAUAAGUUAACAAGAGAGAAAAGAGUCUUAUUAACCAAGGACAUGCAUCAUUUACACAUUGAUCUUACUGCCUUGCUAUAAAUAUGUCAUCUAGGUAUUGGAUGUUUGACUACUUAGAUAACUACAUUGACUUACUCAUAGCUUUAGUGGCUCACUAACUAGUCGCUUCACUCUCGUUGCAAGUAUAGAUGGCCAACGGGCCGUGCCGUGCAGGCCUAGGCCCAUCAAAAGAAGCCCACGUGUGUUUAUGCUCGUGCUUUGCCGUGCUCAUUAUGCGUGCCGUGCCUAAUUUUUUUUCCCCUAGGCCCGGCCCGGCACACGUGUCGUGCCAUGCCUAAGAAAAAAUGCCCAUAAGCUUUUUUCUUUUUUUUUUAAGAGUACAUGUCAAGUUGUUAUCUUAUUUUUUUCAAGCCUAUGUACUUUUUUUUAUCCAUGUGCCUUUAUUCAAACUUAAUAUAAUUAAAAAUUUAAAACUCAAGUCCAUAUUCAAUAAUAAUAAAUUAAUAAUAAUAAGAGAAUGUAAUAUUAGUUACUAAGUUUGACCAUGUUAUUUAAUAAAUUAUAAACAUAAAUCAAUUAUAAUUUUUUUAAACCUAAGAAUUAAAUAAAAUUAAAAAACUUGAGUUAAUAAAAUAUAUUAAAAGAUUCAAUUUCAAUUUAUUUAUAAAUUUAUAAAAUUUUAAGUUUACUUUCAUUAAAAAAUGAAAUGUGCUUAUUGAGUAUUUUUUCGAGUGUCGUGCUUUAGCCCAUCUCUAAUCAUGCCGUACUUUUAAAGCUCACGUGCUUAAAAUUCUAAGCCUGGCCCAGCCCACAUGCGUGUCGUGCCGUGCCGUGCCGUGUGCUCUACUGAAACGUGUUUGUGCCGUGCCAUGCUGUACGGACACGUGUUGUGCCCGUGCCGUGCCUCAUGACGUCUGGCCCAUUGGCCACCUCUAGUUGUAAGACCUUGAUCUCAUUUCAACUAACAAUGCAUCUAUACUUCAAACAUUGAGUCUAGAUCUAACGACUUAAAUCUAGCUACGGGGCUAACAUUGAUAGGUAUUUAAUUAAUGUGGGCAAUGGUUGAUGUCAUCUUAUUGAGAUAUUCCUUUGGUCACAUGCCGAAAUGGAUUUUCACUUGAACGUUAGUAAUAAAACCAUGGCAAAUUAACUGAGUAAGCUACGCGAUGGCAUCAUGGUGAAACUGAUAUGGUGCUGAGAUGACAUCUAGGUAGAUACGAGGCGGCACCAAGAAGAUGCUUGUUAACAAUGCAGUGGUGCCGAUAUGACAUCUUUGUGGCAACAAGAUGGUGUGUUGCUCUCAACAUGAUGGUACUAAGUGACAACUUUUGUGGCAACGAGCCAGAGUUAAGAAAUCGUGUUGCUCGUAAUGCGUGGUGCCGAGAUGACUCCUUGAUUAAAUGUUGUAUAACAAUUCUCUUUUUCAAUGCUGAUUUGAACACAUUACUUUACCUACUUGAUAAAUUACUGUAGAAUCACGUUUAUUUAUUACCGUUGCUCUAAUUAGGGUUGGCAAGUGAUUGGAUUUGCCAAGUGGGAUAAAAAAAUGUCACAUUCCUAUCCCUUUAUUUUUUUUGGGACAAAAAUUUGUCCUAAUCCCAUCCCGUUAAAUAUCAUGUCCUAUCACAUUAUCCUGAACAGUCCCAAAUGUAAACAAAUAAAUUUUGACUUUUUUUUUUCCUUUUAACGAUCAUCAUAAUUCAAUAUAACAAAAAUCUUGAAUAAAUAUAAAGUAGAAUAAUCAAAUAAUAAUUUUAUUUUUGAAUACAUGCAUGUUCGAAUAUAAUUUUAUACUAACAUUUUUUAUUUGUCAGUUUGCUUCCAUUGCAUAUUAAUAUUGAGACUUAAGCUUCAAAAACUAUAGAUUUGAAUAGUAACCAACUUCAGCCAUGUUAAAUAUCCAAUAAUUUAAUAAUAUAAUAAUAAACCAAACCAAUAGUUAGGGUUGACAAUGGGAUGAGAUGAGAUAUGAUUUGUCAUUCUUAGUCUUAUCCUGUAUAUGCAAAUGGAAUAAAAAAAAUUUCAUUCCCAUCCCUUCAUUUGCGACAAAAAAUAUAUUUCAAUCACAUCCCUCUAUCCCUAACUCUAAUAUAAUUUGCUGAUCGUCGACAUGGCAUAUGAACACUUAUGGUGUGUUUACUUGAGAGUUUAUGGAAUGGGAAUGAAGGAAUGAGAAUGAAACCCAUGUUUAUUUGGCAAAAUGUAAUUUGGGAAUGAGAAUAAAAUGUGUAAGUCCCACAUAAUUUGGAAAUAAGGAAUGAGAAUCCCACUCCCAUGGGAGGUUGAAAAUAGGGAUUCUCAUUCCCUAAACUGACUUUUGUAUCCCUCUACUUUUUUCAUAUUUUCCGAAUUAUCCUCGUUCUAACCACAAUUAAUUUUAUUAUUUUAAAUGUCAUUAUUAUUAUUAUUAAAUUUAUUAUUUUAGUUAUUAUUAAUUAUUGUUAUUAUUAUUUUUAUUAAUAUUAUCAUUAUUAACAUUUAUUAUUAUUAUUAAUUUUAUUUUUUUAAUUAAUAUUAUUUUUAUAAUAAUAUUUAUACAUGUAUCUAAUUACAUUAUUUAAUACUAUAGGUAUUUUAGUAAAUUGAUUCUCAUUCCCAUUUCUCAUUUCUCAUUCUUCAUUCCCAUUUAUUUUUAUCAGGUAAACAUUAGAAUCUCAUUCUCAUUUCUCAUUACCAUUUCACUCCAUUAUCAUUCCAUAAAAUAAACGCACCAUUUGUGCAUAUAGCCAUCCCGAAAUCAUAUUGUAAUAUGCUAAUUACUUAAUUAUUAAUUAAUCAUAAUAAACCCACAAUUUAAGCAAUUUUAAUCUAAGCAACACAUCACAUGCAUAGGAUGCCCCGUGUGUAAAGGUGGGUCAAUAUAAUUGGUUCUUAGACUGGAAGCCACCAUCUUCGCCUAUGACCCUCAUGUGUGACAACCUACAAGCCGUCAGAUUCUGAUACCCUGUUUCUGAUUUGUUAUUUUGACAUCACGCGUCCGUGAAGAGGUGGAAUGAAACUAUUUGGGUCUCAACCAUUAGGAUAAUAAGAUCUCUAAGAAUCCUUUCAAAAAAAAGAAAAAAAGAAAAAAAAAAGAUCUCUAAGAAUAUUAAAACGAAACUAAUUACUAAAUUAAGGCAUUCGGUUUCAAAUUUAAAAUGGGGGUCCCAGUUUUGAUAAAAUAAUUUUUAAUCCUUAUAUAAGGUAAUUACUAAGUACUCCUUUAUUCCUAUAGUUGAACUAAUUUUCUCAGUAGUGCUACACAUUCUAAAUUUUUUAUCCUAAAAAGUUAUCUCAAAUGAUGUGUCAUUAAUUAAGUGGUUGAUAAUUCUUUACAAGAUCUAAGUGAAUUAAUUGUAUUAUCUCACUAACUAAUUGAUAAAUGACACAUCAUUUGGGAUAAUUUUUUGGGAUAAAAAAUUUGAGAUGUGUAGCAUUACUCUUUCUCAAUAGUAUUUUGUACUUUUAAAAAUUACCAAAACACUCUUCUUGUUAAUUUUGUAACUAUGGAUUUAAUAUUUCGAGGACAAAAAAGUAUAUCAAAUUAAUAUAAUUUUAAAUUUAAAUAAAUCUAACAUACGAUAUAUGUAAACAUAUGAUAAUUAAAAUUUUUUAAUCAAAAUAAAAUAAAUAUACGAUUGAGAUCUUUGAGUAAUAUUUUAAAAAUAUAACCCAAAAAAAGGGUAAAUCUAAAGAGGGAAUGCGCGUGGCUUAAAAGAAUAAGGCUAUGGAUAAUCGUCAAUAAAUUUUAUAAGAAAAAAAAAAAGAACAUGUAAAUCUAAUUAUGUGGGCGCAGUCCGAGCACAUGGAAGGUCGCCUGUAGCCAUGUUCCCCAAAUUAAAUUAAGAUUAAUAUCAUCACGUGUGUGAGCUUGUGUCUUUUGUGAUCCUCGAAACCAAAAGUGAGAAAUUUAAUAUAAUAGCUAUUGACAUUAACAAAAAUUAUUGACAUUAGUAAUCAGAUAUAAUUUUAAUUAGUGGAGUUGGUUUGAUUACCGCACAGAUCAAAUCUUUAGACUAAAAUAAUUUCUUUUAUUCUGAAAUUUGAGUGAAAUCUAGAUUUCAAAUCUCAUGAAAACAACAGUCAAACUAUGGAUCUCAAAAUAAAAUAUUACACUUCAAAUUUGAAAAUUAUGACACCUGAAAAAAAAAUAAUUCCUGACUAAUUUUAUGAAAUAUUUGUCAGGACUAUCUAGAUCAAGUUUAAUAUAACAUAACUUAGAUAUGUUUAGGUCAAAAGACGGCUAAAUUUACUCCCAAUUUUUUGAAAUUAAAAAAAAAAUCUAUUCUAUUCACAAAUCUUUAAAAAUGGGGAGAGUGAUGUUAUACUUUAACUUUUUUAGACCUUAUUUUUGUUAUUUUAGCACCUGAUAAAUUUUUAAUCCUCUAUUUUAUUCGUGGCGUGUAAAUGGUGAUAGAAAAAAGUACCAUUUAAGUAAAAGUUACUUUUUAAUAAAUAAUUUAAUAAAUUUCGAUUUAUAAAAGACAUCACAUAAUCGGUUUGUAUGUAGAAUGAUCAUAUUUUAUAUAUAUCCUUCCGCAUUUUAUUUUUAAUAGUUGUUUUAAUACUAGAGAUUCAGUACAGUUUCAAAAUCUAUCAAGUGCUAAACAUAUAUUCCAAGAGGGAUUAAAAAAAAAUACAACUAAAAAAUAAGAAAUUAAAGGUAAAAUUCUAGAAAAUUCCAAAGAAAAUGAAAAUGAGACACGCAAUUAAAGAAAACGUAGGAAAAAGAUACGUGUUAGUGUGUCAGAUAAUCAAAAGAUGACACGUGGGCAAUUCUUCUGGAUGCUGUUGUCUCUUCGAAACUCUCUCUCUCUCUCUCUUUCUAUAAGCCCAUCAACUCUCUUUGCAGUUCUAUAAACAAAAAUACCAAGUACAAAUAACAAAAGCAGUUACUCAAAACCCUAAGCACUUCUUUAAUCAAAGUUCUUGUUUUUUGACUCUAAAUUUUAUUUUAUUCCAUUUUACACUUUUUAAGAAUCAAUCAAAGAUGGCAGAUGGAAGCACAGCAACAUGCGUAGAUAUUCUCUUGGCUGUUAUCUUGCCUCCUCUUGGUGUCUUUCUCAAAUUUGGUUGCAAGGUUCGUAGCUACUUAAAAGUUUUAUUUUAUUAAAAUAUUUUGACAAUCAAAAUUUGUUAGAUUUUUUUUCUAAUUAAGUUUUAGUAACCCUUCAUGUAAUUUUGAUUUUAAUGGGUAAAGUGAAAUGAUCAUGCAGGCUGAGUUUUGGAUCUGUUUGCUCUUGACAAUUCUGGGGUAUAUCCCUGGAAUUAUUUAUGCUGUUUAUGCCAUCACCAAGAAGUGAUCUCUCGUCUUCAUCUGUAAGUGCCUGUACUCUUUAAUUUUGCUCAAAGCUUUUGGAAAUCUUUUUAUGAACUUUUUUUUAAUUUAUAACCAAAAAAAUUGUUAAUUUAUUUACGAUUUUACUGAACUUCUGAUGAUAUAUAUUUACUGAAUUCGGGUCAUCACUCAAAAGCAAUUUAGAAAAAAAAAUUGAUUUUUUUUUAUAAAUUUAUUGAUAUCUAUAAUCUGAAAUUUAUUGUCUAAAAAACAUGACCCAAAUUUAACCUCAACAAAUAAUUUAGGAGGAGUGCUACCGGUAAAUAUGAAAAUCUUUUUCUAUUUUACAUAAGAUUUUUUUUUUCUGAAGGCGAAAAAAAUAUCUUGAUAUAAGAUAUUUAGUUAAUAGAUAAUGGGUAUCCAAAUCAACAAGGAUUUGGAUUGAAAGUAUGUCUUUUUGUGUCCUCCCAACCCAUCGGGACCCGCAUUAAUUUGUGUGAUCUUUUUAUUGGUUAAUUAUAUUCUAAUUUAAAUUUUGUCUCCAUUGUGGAUACAGUUGAUUACAAAAGCAAUUGGAGAAUUUGAUAAAGACUUAGGAAUCAAUAUCAUCCUUCUUGCAAGCUCUGUAAUUUUUCUUUUGACUUGUUUUGACAGAUUGAGAGAUCCCAAGGGCAUCAUGUGUUAUGAGAUCUUUUAUUUACAACCGUUAGAUGGGCAGCUCUGAUUUGAUGUAGCCAGAUGGGUUCUGAUUCUUAAUCAACUGGGGUGUGCGUGUGUGUGUGGGAGAGAGCACUUGUUUCGUUUGUUAAUCUUUAUCGUUUUCUUUUCUUUCAUUUGUCCUUUUUAAUGAAUUUUAAUUCAAUAUGUUGAUGUAAAGUGGAGUAUUAUUGAGUGUGUAAAUUGCCUUGUGAAUCAUUACAAGUCCCCACAAAACCAAAUUUGUUCUGAAUUAUUGUGACUGCUGAGUAAUUACUAAAUAUUCUUUUUUGUUAUUUUGUAGAAAGAACAAAACUGAUUGAGCUGGGCUAUAACUAUCUCAAUUAUUUAAUGUGUUUGGUAAAAUGGAGCUUUCAUAAUAUUAAAGCAAAAACGAAGCAGAAAGGAACUUAUCAUGCAACAGACAAUAAGCAUUUUACUUGUGCUCUUGAAAAACGAGGUGUUCUAAUUCGUACAUUAUUCAAUAAACAAUUUGCUUUACCCUGCCGUUAGGGCUUGACAAAGUAAUUUUUAAGCUUCUUUUUUUUCUUUUAAAUCUUUACUCAUUCAAAAUCGAAUUUUAAGAGAAAUGGGGACUGAAAAUAUUACCUUAAAAAAAAAGGACACAAAGAAAACUUUCUUUUAUCCCAUUAACCUUUGAAGGUCAGGGAUACGUGACAGACUUGUACACGUCGUGCUUAUUUUAGAUGGUUGCGUAUCAUUUGAGUCUCUAGCCAUGACUUCAUAAAGAAAAGAAAAUUCAAACCUGGAGUACAUCCAUAUCCGUUUUGAACAAGGACUUGUAUAAAAUAUCUUUAAAACUAACCUAUGGGUGAUGUCCACAUUCAAAUGUUGACCAGAACUUGACAGUUGUGAGACAUGUUAAAAUAUAUAAUUGAUUGAAAGGGCAGCAUGAUUUUGCCAAAUUUAGAUGAUAUCCACAUUCAUCGAUCUUUUUUUUGGGUUCAGACCUGACUCCCUACUCAAUUAAAUUAGAUGAGAGUCGAUUUUUUCCCGUAGAAAUUUGAGUUGUGUCACACUAAUUUUAUCAAGAGUAGUUCUGAUCGAUUUUUAAUUGUCAAUAUUAAUAGAAUUUUGAUUACAAUAUAUAGCAGUAUAUCAAUUAAAAAAAUCGUAAUCAACUCAUCAAAAUUAUAAUACCAUUUCAGGAAUGCACUCAUAACUCGAAGUGUCGUUUGCAGUCCACAAUUUAAACCUGUGUAAUUAGUUAACAGAAAUUUACAUGCGUAGUGAAGAGUUUAAAUUUUAUGGGAAAUUAAUGAGGUUUCGGCAUCGAGUGAUGUAUUUAGUUUCAGCAUCUAAUUUCUGCCGAAGCACUUCAACAGCUUGCCAGCACAAAUUUGAAGACUUUAAUUUUUGGUAAAUUAUGCCGUAUGAUAUGGAAUAUGCAUGUGGAAGAAAAAAAUAUUAUUCCUUCGCAAUCAAGUAACCAGACCUGAUAAAAUCGAUAUACAGGCCAACCAUCGCUCAAGUCAAGGAGGGCUUCUGUGGAAUACAAUAGACUUGCCGGUUGUCUACAUAGAAGAUGAAGAAACCGCAUACAAACAUCAUAAACAUCCAAUUUUGAAUCAAAUCAUUUUUUUGCUUCACAAGUAUUUGCUAUCCCACACAGGCAUAACAGUGGUGAUAUUAUUUUUUAUGGUAUGAGUUAAAAUUCAAACAAAUAUGAUGACAUGUAACAGGUAGAAAAUAUAUGAUUAUUAAGAAGUUUUUAUUGGAAAUAAAUAUAGAAUAACUACUUUUUUGGUCAUUUUAAAUUUUAAUUAUUUUCCCAAUAAUUUUAUUAUGGAUUAAGUACUUAAUGUGCCAAAACUUAGCUUGUUUACAAUAAGUCAAAAUACCAUUUUACCAUACUUUAUACUAAGAUAUUAAGAAUUCAUUGUGCCAAACUCCCAUGUUUGUCUCUAAUAAAUCAAAAUUUCAAAAUAUAAAAUAUGGAUAAAAUUAAAUAGAAAAUAAUUGAAUUUAUAUAAUUAAAAAUAGAAUUUGAUUAAAUCAUAUUUUUCUACUAAGAGUUUCACCUCACCCUAACUAUUAGUAUUUAGUUAAAGACAUUAAAAAAAUGGUAUUUGAAAAUUGAAAUAAACCAAUUUUAUUUAUUGACACUUUUACCGUGGUAAAAACUUAUAAAUUCACAAUAAAAGUGGUGGAUCCUCCUCGACAAUGACCUAAUUUCUCGGACCUCCGGAAUUCAAAUUUGACAUCCGUACAUUUGGUUAGAGCAUCAAAUUACGUGAAAUUAUUAUUUUUACUUAAUAAACACACAAAAAUACACAAAAUUAAAUAUUUAGAAAAAGAAUUAGAAAUUCAUAAUAUGUUACAUUAUUACAAAUGUAAAUUAUAUUAUAAGCACAAAAUAACAUUUUUACUUCUUAAUAAAUAUAAAAAUUUUAACACUAAUCAAGGGGCUUUUUAGUAACACCAGGGUAAAAUUCAAAUAUCUCGUGUUCUUCCUAAGUUAUGUAAGAUAGGCGGCAUGCCCUCAUGUGAUUGUCCUUUUGGGUUAUCUAACAAGCGCACAAGGGUUUGUUGGGGAGGUCUCAUCUAUACAACCCUUUGCAGGUGGCUAUUUUUAGGGCUCUUUUAGUGAAGCAUGCCUAACCCAACCACGGAUCUUCUCAAGCUGAUGUGACUAAAUAUCUAUGGACACCUUUCGUCACUAUUCAAUAAACAAAUUUGCUUUAUCGUGCCAUUAGGGCUUGACAAAGUAAUUUUUAAGUUUUUUUAUUUUUUUUUUCGUCAUUGGAAAUCAAUCAAAUUUUGACAAAGUUGGGGAUUAAAAAAUUUACUUAAAUGAAAAAAGGGAAAAUUUCUUUUAUCCCAUUAACCGUUCAAGGUGAGGUAUAUGAUAAGGAAAAAGACAUUCUCACAAAGGAUUGCACAAAAGAUUGUACAAAACGGUGAGUUCUGAAAAAAAAUAUAAUUACAAAUUUUCAUAAAAUCUUGAAAAUUAAUCAUAUACAUCCUUAUUUGAAAUUAUUUGGAUUUUGGGUUGAUUUAUCUGCAAAAUUGGUAUCAAAGCCAAGUUUUUGGUUCAAAAUAUAAAAUGGAAGAAAUAGUUGUUUAUUUCAUUAAUAAUGGAGGAUAUAAUUUAAUGAUAAACAAUAAUACAAUAAAGGAUAACAUAACAAAACAUAGACAAUAUUAUUAUUCAGAAAUUAAUACAUUAGAUGAUAAACAAUUAGAACAAUUUUAUCUACACAGAGCUCAUGAAUUUAGGAUUGGAGGACUUAUUGUCAUAAAAACUAGAAAUUUAAACAUUGAUCCUAUUCUCUUAUUUAGAAUUAGAAGAGAAGUAUAUAGUAAUAAUUUUUCAUGGAAACAAUGGAAUAUUAAUUCUGUUGAAGAUUAUAUAGAUGAACUUAUAAUUGAUUAUAAUGGAUUUUUAAAUAUUAAACAAAGAGAUUAAUAUAAUUGGAAUAAUAAAAGGAUCCGUAGUAAAUAUUAUCCUUCUAGCAACAUGCUUAUAGGAUAUAAAGAUUUAAUUAUGUAUAAACUAUGCUAUAUACAUAAAUGUUUAGCGGAAAACAAUAUACCAAAGGAUAUAAGAGACAUUAUAUGUCAUAAAUACUUGUUAGAAUAUAAUGAAAUAUUAUGUAGAUGGUACUAUGAAUAAAUUACCAGAACCAUUGAUAAUUUCACAAAACAUAGAAAUAAAAAAAUUUCCACCUUCUAACUAUAGGCAUAGAGGAUUUACUUAUGUAAGAUUUCAACCAUUUGAUCGAGUAAAUGAUUCCGAUAUGUGGGGAAAUAAUUAGUUGAACUGGAUUUCCUUAUAUUUAUUAAAUAAAUUAGGCAACCCCAAUUUUUUACUAUAAAUGAUAUAGAAAGUAUAAAUGAAAUACUUGAGAUUAAAAGCUUCAAUGCUGAAAAUAUAAAACAAGUUAAAAUGAUAGGAGAAAAAAUGAGUGAAGAGUUUGAUUCAGUCAAACAAUUGAUAAAAGACUUCAAAAUUGAAGAUCAAGAUAGAUUGAAACAAGAAAUCAUUAAGGUUAUGAAAAAAAAUUCAAUUGAAAAAAAAAUUAAAUUAAAUAGAAAUUCAAUUACAUAAAAUUAAAAAAAUUGUGGAACAACUUGGUAAUAAAUUUGCAAUAAGUAUAAAUGGAAAACUUCAAAGGGAUUGAAAUACAAAAAAUUGAUAACAAUAUGGAGGAAUUACUCAUGGUAAUUCAAGAAUAAAAUAAAAUUUUGCAAGAUACCAUAAUUUACUACAAUGAAAAGAAAGAUAAAGAAAUGAUAACAAUAUCUAAACCAAUAUUUAACAAAACAAAGGAAGAUAAAAAGUUGAUAAGUCUAAGGAUGCUAAGUGAAAAUAUAGACAAUGGAUUAAAAGAAUUAUCUAAUCAAGAAAUAUCUGAUGAAGAAUCUGAAGAAGAAGAAGAAGAAGAUAUAUUCAUUAAUUUAAAAGAUAUUGAAAAUAAAAUAGAAUAUCUAAAAAUGAAUGAAUGAAAGCCAAGGGUUUUUGAAAGAGGAGAAACUAGUAAUAGAGCUUCUUAUACUAGGGAAGAAAUACCAACUCAUGAAAGACCUCAAGGUCAAAAUUUUAGGAUUAAUAAACCAAAAAAUGAAUAUAAAACUCCAGGAGAAUAUAGAGAAAGACCAAUCAAUCACGAUGGAGUAUGGUUAGAUUUAGACUGUGUCAAAGAUAAAGAUAAAACGAUUACCGCUUGGGUUAAAUCUAUGAAAAUGGCAUUAGCAUUUCACAAAAUAGAUAGAGAUAAUUGUAUAGAAUUCCUUAAAACUUCAUUUAUAGGAAUUGUGCCUCACUGGCUUAUGGGUCUAAAUGAUACCAAUAAAAAUAUAAUAUUAUAUGGAGAAAAUAAUGAUUGAAACGAAAACUUUGAUCAAAUUUAAAUAGAUUCGAAAAUGAAAUAAGAAAAGAAUUCUUAGGAGAAGAUUGGGAAACUAAUUUUCAACAAGAAAGAAAAAGAAAACAUAUGGAAAAUUUAAUGAAGCUGACAAGGCUUGAAACAUGUAAUAUAUGUUAUUUAGAAGAAUACACAUGUAACUUCGAAGAAUUAUAUUAUAAAUGUGAAUUUGAUAAGGAUAAAGAUAACAUAUACUAUUACAAUUAUCUAUAUUUUAUAAAGAUACCAGACCCAUGGGGUAAAAGGAUUAUGUUAGGAUAUAACAAAGAAUACGGAGAUACCACACAAACUAAUAAUCUAGGAAAUAUAAUUAGAUUUGCUCGAAAUAGAAUCAGCGAAUGGUGUGCUGAUAUAAGAGAUAAAAGACUUAUGAAAAAGCAAAUCGAGGAUUAUACUGUUUUAGGUUAGAAGAUCCACCAAGAUUUGGAUGCUAAAUCUAUAAACAUAAAAAGAUAUUCAAAAAGAAGAAAUUCUUUAAAGAAAACAAAAAAAUAUUACAAGAAAAAUAAAUAUAAGAAGAAAUUCUAUAAGAAACAUAAAUCUAAAAGAAAAUCUAAGGCCAAUACACCUAAAAAGUGCAAAUGUUGGUUAUGCAAUGAACAAGGACGUUAUGCAAAUGAAUGUCCUAAAAGGAAGAAAGCAAAUAUAAAAAUGUUUGAUGAUUUCAAUGAUUUAGAAUUAAUAACAGACAGUGAAGUGAAAAUGAUAGCAUAUAUUAUCUUCCUGAGGAAACUUUGAGUAACUCAUAUUCAUAAUCAUAUUUAGAAUGAGCAUAGAAUAAUUAGAUAAUAAAGAUUUAUAUCAAGAUGAAGAAUUAGAAAAACAAGGUUCUUUUAAUAAAGAAUUAAUCUUUGAUAAAAGACAAUAUCUCAAGAUUAAUAAAAAAGGAUUGGAAUCAUGUAUGACUUCAGUUAACAAGUUAGCACAAGGAAUUGCUAACAUGAUUAAAGGAAAAAAAUAUAAUGUAUUUCAGUGCUACUGUGCGAGAAGAACCUAUUGAUAUUAGAUAUGCUAGAGGAAAUACAAAUAUACCAUUAUUAUUAAAAUCUUAUAUAGAAGAUAAAAUCAACAAAAUAAAAUCCAGUGAUAGACCUAAAAUUGGAUACGUUCAUAUUGAAGGAAUCCAAAUAAUGAUAAAAGCUCAUUUUAGAGAAGAAAUAGAUAGUCCAAUGAAUUUGGUUGUACUAGAUAAUAGAAUUAAAGAUCGAAGACAUGCACUCCUUGGGAUAUUACAAGGAAAUCUAAGUUAUAAAAAAUUGAUAUUUAAAAUAUAUCCCAAAUAUUCUAUAAGUCUUAAAGACAUAAAUAUAAAUAAAAUAUUAACUUUAUGUCAUGAUUUCAAAUACUUUGAUAUAAUGCAUGAUUAAUCUUAUCCAUAUAGCAUGACAUAUGCAAUAGAAUAUGCAUUAACAAACUCAGCAAAUAGUGAAAUGUUUGCUGAUAAAGAUUUUAUCGAAAUUGAUAAAUUAUUUAAUAAAGUUGGAAAAAUACAAUCUCCUAAAAUUUUGAGGGAAUUAGAUUUACCAGAAGAAUGGGAAAUGGAUUAAAGUUGUCAACCUAUUCUCAUUAGAGGAAAUACUACUAAAUCUAUAGAAUAUACUCCAGAGAGGAGAAUCAUCAUAGGAAAUAAAAGAUCAUUCUCUAUACCUAGAAAAGAGUCAGGAUUAACUAGAACCCAAAGUUUUACUAGAUGUAGCUAUCUUGUGAUACCACCAUCACAUGAAAUAUUGGCCACGAUUAGAAAAAAAUAAUCAAAAUCUAAAAAUUAAGAUUGAAUAUAAUAAUGGAAAAUCAUGGCACGAGAUUUUUGCUAUCCUUGAUACAGGAGCUACAAAAUCUUAUGUAGAUACCAAAAUGAUUAAAUAUUUAGAAAGAAAAUUCUAAUAGAACCUCAUACCUAUGUAGGAUUUAAUGGAGAAAGAAAGACAUUAAGUCAAUAUUGUGAAAUACCAUUAAGAAUAAAAGGAAUCGAAUUCACGUUUCCUUUUUUUUUAUAGAACCAGAUUAUGAAACAGAAAUAAGUCCUUUAUUAUUAAGGAUGAACUUUCUUGAGAAUUUCUCUCCUUAUUCUAUAGGAGAUAGAGAAAUAAGCAUAACAAUUGAAGGAAUUAAGCAAACCAUAUCAAGAUAUGUCUAACCCUUUUAUUGUUUAUAUAAAAGUGAUUAUACCAUACUACAAGUAUAAGCCAGAAUGGUUUCAUACCUUAAUAGAUACUGGUUUAGGAGUUAGUUUAGCUAAUUCUAAGAUUUAUCCAAAAUCAUAUUGGAAGGAUUAUAAACCUCUAACAGGACAAGGAAUAAAUGGUGAACAGAUCACCUUAGGAAAAUGUAGGAUUAAGACUUUAAUCCAAAUCGAAGAUUACAUCCUAAGUAUCCCAAUAUUAUGGUCUUAUGAUCAUAUUGGAGCAUAUAUACUUUUAGGAGUUAAUUUCCUUCGUCAGUUCAUUUAUAUAAUGACUAAUGAAGCAAUUACUCUUAAAACACCAUGUAAUCAUUCCAUUACUACCCCACAGAUUUAUAACCCUAUUAGGUGAACAACUCGAAAAUUACAUUUUCGAAGCAGCCAGCGUGGUGAUUAUAAUUUAAAAAUUAUCAAAUCAUAUCAGAUUAUGAAAAAAAUUUAGAAAAACUUGAUAAAAAUUUUGGUGAAAUCCAAUUCAAUUAUGGGAAAUUGAUAAAACAUAUGCUAAGAUCGAAUUAAAAGAUCCAAAUGUUAUCAUAAGAGUCAAGCCUAUGAGGUAUGGACAAGAAGAUGGACAAGAAUUUGAUAAACAAAUUAAAGAGUUAUUAUAACUCAAGAUUAUUCGAGAAUCUAAAAGUGCUCAAAGUACUCCAGCUUUUAUGGUUAGAAAUCAUGCAGAGAUUAAACGAGGAAAAGCUCGUACGGUUAUUAACUACAAAGAAUUAAAUAAAUAUACUAAAUUUGAUGGAUAUUUUUUACCUCAUAAAGAUACACUAAUUACCUUUGUGAUCAAUAAAAAGAUAUUUAGCAAGUUUGAUUGCAAAUCUGGAUUUUGGCAAAUCAAACUUGAAGAAGAAAAUAUACUACUUACUGCUUUUAGUACACCUCAAGGACAGUAUGAAUGGAUUGUAAUAUCUUUUCGAUUAAAAAAUGCACCACAAAUAUUUCAAAAAAGGAUGGAUAAAAUUUUUAAGGAAUUUCAUGAAUUCUACAUUGUUUAUGUAGAUGACAUUUUAAUAUUCUCUGAUAAUAAGAUAGAUCAUAUUAAUCAUCUCAUUUUUGCAGAAAAAUGCAAAAAGCAUGGAAUAUUACUUUUUAAAAAGAAAGCUGAAAUAAUGAAACCCAGAAUAGAAUUUCUAGGAUUAAUAAUAGAUGAAACAGGAAUUGAGAUGCAACCUCAUAUUUCUGGAAAAAAAAAAUAUUUAUUCCCAGAUAAACUAGAAUUAAUGAACAAAUUCAAAAAUUUUUAGGAUGUCUUAACUAUGCUGAAGGAUUUAUAGAAAACUCAGCUAAAGAAAGACAACUUUUACAAAGAUUGUUAAAAAAGAAUAAUACAAAAUCAUGGGAAGAUCUCCAUACCAAAGUAUAAUUUAAAAAUUAUCAAAUCAUAUCAGAUUAUGAAAAAAAUUUAGAAAAACUUGAUAAAAAUUUUGGUGAAAUCCAAUUCAAUUAUGGGAAAUUGAUAAAACAUAUGCUAAGAUCGAAUUAAAAGAUCCAAAUGUUAUCAUAAGAGUCAAGCCUAUGAGGUAUGGACAAGAAGAUGGACAAGAAUUUGAUAAACAAAUUAAAGAGUUAUUAUAACUCAAGAUUAUUCGAGAAUCUAAAAGUGCUCAAAGUACUCCAGCUUUUAUGGUUAGAAAUCAUGCAGAGAUUAAACGAGGAAAAGCUCGUACGGUUAUUAACUACAAAGAAUUAAAUAAAUAUACUAAAUUUGAUGGAUAUUUUUUACCUCAUAAAGAUACACUAAUUACCUUUGUGAUCAAUAAAAAGAUAUUUAGCAAGUUUGAUUGCAAAUCUGGAUUUUGGCAAAUCAAACUUGAAGAAGAAAAUAUACUACUUACUGCUUUUAGUACACCUCAAGGACAGUAUGAAUGGAUUGUAAUAUCUUUUCGAUUAAAAAAUGCACCACAAAUAUUUCAAAAAAGGAUGGAUAAAAUUUUUAAGGAAUUUCAUGAAUUCUACAUUGUUUAUGUAGAUGACAUUUUAAUAUUCUCUGAUAAUAAGAUAGAUCAUAUUAAUCAUCUCAUUUUUGCAGAAAAAUGCAAAAAGCAUGGAAUAUUACUUUUUAAAAAGAAAGCUGAAAUAAUGAAACCCAGAAUAGAAUUUCUAGGAUUAAUAAUAGAUGAAACAGGAAUUGAGAUGCAACCUCAUAUUUCUGGAAAAAAAAAAUAUUUAUUCCCAGAUAAACUAGAAUUAAUGAACAAAUUCAAAAAUUUUUAGGAUGUCUUAACUAUGCUGAAGGAUUUAUAGAAAACUCAGCUAAAGAAAGACAACUUUUACAAAGAUUGUUAAAAAAGAAUAAUACAAAAUCAUGGGAAGAUCUCCAUACCAAAGUGGUAAAAGGAUUAAAAGAAAAAUAUAAAAAUCUACCCAGGCUAGGAUUCCCUACCUCUAGUGAUAAUUUAAUUCUUGAAACAGAUGCUUUAGAUAAUCAUUGAGGUGCAGUCUUAAAAACAUAUCAAGAAAAGAUUUGAAGAUAUGCCAGCGGAACAUUUAAGCCUGCAGAAAAGAAUUACAUAGUAAUGAAAAGGAAUUAUUAGCUAUUAAAACGGAAUAGCUAAAUUUACUUUCUUUUUGUUACCAAAGAAAUUCAAGGUAAGAUCCGAUAAUACUCAGGUAAAAGGAUUUAUAUUUAAUAAAUUACUUAAUCUUCCACAAUAUAAAAGAUUAAUUAGAUGGCAGCAGUUCUUUCCUGAAUAUGAUUUUGAAAUUGAAUAUAUUAAAGGAUCUAACAAUUGUAUUGUAGAUUUUCUUAGCCAAGUAUACAAUGGAGAGGAGCCUUUCCAAAAUAAUUAAGGGCAUAAUGAUGUUCUCUGAAGGUCAAGAAUUGCUUCUCAAAGGCAAUGGUAUGAUUUAUGAUGGGCUUGCUAUGAUAGAUGAUGCCCAUGAAGAAUUGAGCAAACUUUGCCUAGAUAAAAGUUUUCAAAAGCAUCCAAAAUUCCAAAUAUCAUAACAAUAUAUUAGCAAUAUGCUAAAAAAAUGUCCAUUUUAAGGAUCAACUUGAGGGACAGAUCGCCCAGAGUUCUUCACAGAACUCAAGGAUCACACAUCCAGAUAAAUUUCUCACAAUUAAUGAUCUUAAAGAACAAUAUAUGAGGAAAGAAGAAUCUCAAGGGUCUUCAGUAAGCUUAAGUCCUCAAUAUGAUAAAAGCGAACAAUCUGUUCCUAUGGUUAAAAUUCCAAUAGGAAGUGACUACGCCUAUGAUUAUAAAAGAAUCGAAAAAAUGGCCUAUGAGAUUCGCCCUAAUCAGGCUAUAAUACCAGAUCAUUUAGGGUUAUACCCAAGGAUAAAUUUUGUUCCAGGAGUUGAUCCAAAAUUGAUAAAAGAAAUGUUUGAAUAUGGUUUUCUUCACAUUGUUUAUGUUAGUGAUGAUUGCAGGGAAAUCAAAUAGCUCCCAGAAAAAAAUUGCAGAGGUUGUGAAUGGCCUCAAAAGAAUAUCUAAAAUAAAAGAAAUGAUUUUUGUCAAUAUCCUCACUGCUUGCCCUGAAUACUAUGAAAACAAGUGGUAUCCAGUGCAGCACAUGAUUCAAUUUGGAAUUACCAGCAAAAGAGUU